Molecule: long non-coding RNA, 69676 nt
Filed under: Sorghum bicolor (sorghum)
Lineage: Eukaryota; Viridiplantae; Streptophyta; Magnoliopsida; Poales; Poaceae
Description: long non-coding RNA (SBIC_LNC003101)
Source: RNAcentral
ACUGGUCAGUAAAGCAAACUACACAAGUACGCAAAGCUGCUCGGAGCGUGUGACUAACCUUCUCGCUGCCGGUACUGGUCGGCCAAGCGACGAGUGAGGUCGAGACGACGCUCCUCUUGGGCGCUCAUCUCGGCCACCUUCUCCCCGACUUCCGACCGCAGCCGGUCUACCUCCGCGGCCAGGGCCUUGUUCUCGGCCACGACGCCUUCUAUCUGGUCAAAGCACCGUAUCCGGUACUUUGCCGUUUUCAUUGCGCCCUAGAAAGCAAACAUAUAACGACCAUGCAAGACAAGGCAUAGAAUGUACAGCAGUACAAAAAGUCGCUUACCUUGACUUCGUCGACGAGGCGCUUGGCCGCGCGCUCCACCCUGGCGGCCUCCUCGGUCUCGGCGAGCUCUUCAUGCCCGAUAAAGUGAUCCCCGCGUUGGCGCCACACAUACACGUGUUGGCGGCCAUCACGGGGACGACCCUCAAUCUCCUCCACCUCAUCCUCGGAGGCCGCCUGAGCUUCCUCCUCCCGCGCUGCGUUGCUUCCGGUAGCGGUCCCAGGCAUUACUGGUCCCCGGACCAGACCUGGGGAGCCUGCAGUCGAAGCGGCCCCUGCUCGGGGCGGUGUGGAGACUUCACCCUCCCCGGCGGGAGGAGGGGUCGGGGCCCUUCCCUCCCUUUCCAUGGUGCUGGCUGGGGGAGGCGUCCCCAUAGCCUCCUCAACCCUGGUCAGGCUGCUCAACGUAGCCGGUGCCGCGGCCGGGGACUCCUCGGCGCUCUCAGGCACGGCUGCAGCCGUAGGCUGCUCUGCGGUCUGCGGGGCCGCGUCUUCAGCAGCGCAAACCGGCUCACUCGUCCCCUGGCCAGCGGCAUGGCCAGGGUUGACAUCUGUCGAGGGUACCCUCACCAAUGCGUAUAACGAAACCGUCCGUACACACGGGCGACCAUCGACGGCCGCAGCCUCGAAGACGGAAAUACCGUCGAGCGAGUCGACCAGGGCUUGAGCAGCAACUGCCGUCGAAUACGGAGGAGGGCUCGAGCGAAUCGAAGGGCGUCGAGCGCAAGGACACUGUCCGCCGCCUGACGCGCGCACGCGGGUCGGAGCAUUUAAUGCACCUGACGCUUCCCCACCUAACACAUGGGCCACGGGAGGCUUCCGUCCCAUCGUUCUUUUUGCAGCCUUCUCACCGAAUAACCCAGGGCGUGUCAGGACGCAGGAAACGAGGAUGGAACGUCUAAUCGGGACCCCCUCGAGACAUCUAAGGUCAGCGCUCCAGAUAUCAGCAUAUUACACGGCGUCCGACCCUCGACCGAACAGGGUCCCUUCCUAGGAACAAGUUGGGCGUCGACUGACAACAUCACUGUUACCCCACCGGAUCCACCGCCUUACCGUACAAGCAUGCAACCUCAGAACCAGCGCAAGGCGGCGGGCAGGGCAGAACGCAGGAGCACGCGUAAUCAUCACCGGGCUAUCAAGAUGGGACGGCUCGAGGCCAUGCCGUACGGAAGCCUCGAGUAGGUCAGCGCUCCAUGCGGCUAUCGACCCCUACUCUAGCGUCUACGCAUGUACCCUGGGUCUCUCCUUGGGGCUAUAAAAGGAGAGACUCAGGAAUAGAACGGGAGGACGAAAACAAGAACAACACAAGACCACACUCAUACGUAGAAGAGCUCCACACUUCAUACCACGCUUGUAUUCGCCCCUGUACAAGCACUUAGGUGCAAGAUAAUACAAACUCUCUCCCCCCGCUGGACGUAGGGCCUUCUCUUGCCCGAACCAGGAUAAAUCUCUGUGUCUUCUUGCAUCACCAUCCGGAAAAGGGAGCACGCAUACAAAUUUACUCGUUGGUGUGACCCCCCGGGGGAAAAACACCGACAGUUGGCACGCCAGGUAGGGGUCCUGCGUGUUUUUCAUCGAUUCCCCACUCCUUUCCGGAUGGCUACUCUUGCCUCGCCGUUUCCGCGCUCCACGGUGAUUUGGUUUGGGAGUCUCGAGUUCAUGUCUACGGGCUCCGGCUACGACAUGAUCUUGCUCUCAGUCAGAGGACCAGGAGGAGCCCGCGUUACGCCAGCACGGUUGAAGGCCCCGAGACGCCCUCAUCACCACGCCUCCCCGCCUAAGAAGAGGCACGGACGGCACCACCGCGGCCCCCCCGCUUCAGCACGACCAACAACUCGUGCGAGGCAGGACAUGAGCCACGAGUCGGCAGCACCGUGUGACGGAGCAACAAGUGCGACGACUCAGCACCGCGCGACGACGGGAGGGGACGCGUCUCGCGCCCUCUCCCUCACCGCAGCUAGGCUACUUCCACACGGGUUGUUCUCUCCAAGGGCGGCACUGCCGUUCGGAAUGGACAACGCCGCGGCGUCGCUCGCCAGGACGAUAUGCCCAAACGCCCAGACGUACGUGGAAAGACCCAUGGUCCUCCCACAUAGCUCUGAAGCGCGGCGGCCGGCGUCCGAGCUGCCGGACCUUUCCCAAGUACGAGGCCUCCGUCGUCUAGGCCCCGGACGAUACUCGAUCACCUCCCUCAGGCAACGAUUGCUGGAGGAAGGACGUGGGUGUUUCUACGCCGCCGAACCGGACUCCGACUCCGAGACAGACAGCUAUGACCCUACGAGGGAAUGCUAUCACAUCGACGGGGCGGCAGAAACCACCGACGAGACACGGGAUGCUGCAGCGGGUGGUCGAGCCCCCGCGGUGCAAGAAGACCCCAGGACGCCUGGGAACGACGGACGGCUCGACCCUCUUCCUCAGGAAGAUAGAACCGCGCAGCUCGCGCAGCUGCCGGAGCUCAAGAUGAAGCUCGAUGAAGACCGUGAGCGCCUCGUCCUGCUCGAGCAAAUCCUCGAACAAGACCUGCCCUACCCGCCGGGCGGAAGUGUCCGCAGACGCGCUCGAGAGGUACAUCGACAGAUCGUCGGCGACGCAGAGGCGGAGCAACCUGUCAGCCGUUUCCCUCGAGCAGGCCAGAAUGUAGUGGCAGCGACGAUGCUGCUACGUAACAUGCCAGAGCCGUCGAAUUCCCAGGCCCGACGCAUUCGAGAUGAAGUACAGACAUUGCUCCAGGUGGCAGCGGUUCAACAAGCCGAAAGUUCGGCGUCUCGACGACGAGGAGCUGCCACAGAGAAGCGCGACGAACAGCCACUAAACGAAGAGGAGGUGUCAGUCCAUCAACAACCUCCCCCUCGAGGUAGAAAGACCGCACUCAUCCUCCCUGCCGACAAUCAACGUCGACACGACGCGCGGCACGACAUCAAAGAAAAUAGGCGCCGCCGGCACGGAGACGCGGAAGAGCAUGGUUAUAGCGCGCAUCGCGGCGGAAGAUACGACAGCGACGAGGACCGGGUGGCCCCUGAGCCACCAGGCCCACGGGUGUUCAGCAGGGCGAUCCGCAGCACGCCCCUGCCCAAUCCGUUUCGACCCCCGACCAGCAUCGCAAAGUACAACGGAGAGACCAAGCCAGAGUUAUGGCUGGCCGAUUUCAGGUUGGCCUGUCAGCUAGGUGGCGCUCGAGGCGAUGACCGAGCCAUCAUCAGACAGCUACCCCUUUUUCUCUCCGACACCGCCCGUCGAUGGCUCGAGGAACUCCCUGCCAAUCAGAUCCACAACUGGGUUGAUCUGGUCAGAGUCUUCGAGGGUAACUUCAAAGGGACCUACAUACGGCCAGGGAACUCGUGGGACCUAAGCAAGUGCAAGCAGAAGUCGGGAGAAACUCUUCGGGAGUAUGCCCGACGCUUCUCGAAACAGCGCACCGAGCUGCCGCACAUCCCUGACCACGACGUCAUCUUGGCGUUUGUCUCGGGCACCACCAGUCGAGACUUGGUGCGGGAAUUAGGUCGCAAUCGACCUCAGACCGUCGACGAGCUGAUGGACAUAGUAGCCAACUACGCGGCAGGGGAGGAGGUAGUCGGCGCCUUCUUCAGCUUAGAGGGAAGAAAAGGCAAGCAGCCCAUCGACGAAGAUGGGACCCCCAGUCGGGGCCUCAAGAAAAAUAAAAAGAAGCAGAAAGUGCGGCAGUUCCAUCGGGAAGAUUCCGACGACAACCUUGUCGCCGCCAUGGAUCGAAAGAAGCCUCGAGGCCCUCCGGAUGGAGGCAUCUUCGACAAAAUGUUGGAAGAGCCGUGCCCUUACCAUAAGGGAGGCGCCAACCACAAGCUCAAGGAUUGUCGUAUGCUAAGAAGGCAUUUUGACAGUCCGGGGUUCAAAAAAGAUACGCGUGAUGACUCCAAGAAAGAGAAGGCUGGCGGCCAGGAGGACAACAAAGGUGACAACGGCUUCCCCGCCGUCCACGACUGCUACAUGAUCUACGGCGGGCCCUCGACUCAAUUGACCACGAGGCAGCGCAAAAGGGAGCGUCGCGAAGUCUUUGCAGCAAGAAUGGUGGUGCCCCAAUACCUUAGCUGGUCAAGCACCCCUAUCACUUUCAACCGAGAGGACCACCCCGACAAGGUAGUCGCCCCGGGCGUCUACCCGCUUGUCGUCGACCCCAUCAUCAUCAACACCCGACUCUCGAAAGUGCUGAUGGAUGGUGGCAGCAGCCUCAACAUCAUCUACCUCGAGACCCUCGACCUCCUCGGCAUCGAUAGAGGACGCCUACAGCCGAGCGCCGGCGGUUUCCACGGCGUCGUGCCAGGGAAAAAGGCACUGCCAGUAGGUCGAAUUGACCUACCGGUCUGCUUCGGCACGGCGGCCAACUUCAGGAAGGAGACCCUCACCUUUGAGGCGGUUGGGUUCCGAGGCACGUACCACGCCAUCAUCGGGCGCCCGGGCUACGCCAAGUUCAUGGCUAUACCCAACUACACCUACUUGAAGCUGAAGAUGCCCGGUCCCAAAGGCGUCAUCACUGUCAGUUCCUCCUUCGAGCAUGCCUACGAGUGCGAUGUCGAGUGCGUCGAGUACGGGGAAGCAGUCGAGAGCUCCACCGAGAUCAUCACGAAGCUCGAGGCCCUGGCCGCAGAGGCUCCAGAGCCUAAGCACCACGCGGGCAGCUUCGAGGCGGCGGAAGGAACCAAGAAGAUCCCGCUCGACCCCAACAACUCCGACGGGAAGGUGCUGACGAUCAGCGCUGACCUCGACCCCAAAUAGGAAGCCGUGCUCGUCGACUUUCUCCGUGCAAAUGCUGAUAUGUUUGCAUGGAGUCCCUCGGACAUGCCAGGCAUACCGAGGGAAGUCGCCGAGCACUCCUUGGAGAUUCGAGCCGGUUCCAAGCCAGUGAAGCAGCGGUUGCGCCGAUUCGACGAGGAAAAGCGCAAGAACAUCGGCGAGGAAGUCCACAAGCUUUUGACGGCCGGAUUCAUCAAGGAGGUUCAUCAUCCUGACUGGUUAGCGAACCCUGUAUUAGUUAAGAAAAAGAAUGGGAAAAUGAGGAUGUGUGUCGAUUAUACUAGUUUGAAUAAAGCAUGUCCAAAAGUUCCCUUUCCAUUGCCACGCAUUGAUCAGAUUGUCGAUUCUACCGCGGGAUGUGAAACCCUUUCUUUCCUUGAUGCAUAUUCCGGUUACCAUCAAAUAAAAAUGAAGGAGUCCGACCAGCUCGCGACCUCUUUCGUCACGCCUUUUGGGAUGUAUUGCUACGUGACCAUGCCAUUCGGGCUUCGAAACGCCGGAGCCACGUAUCAACGUUGCAUGCUCCACGUAUUCGGCAAACACAUAGGGUCGACGGUCGAAGCCUACGUCGACGACAUUGUCGUCAAGUCAAAGCGACGAGGAGACCUGAUCCAGGACCUCGAGAUUGCCUUUAGCUGUCUACGCAUCAGCCAGAUCAAGCUCAAUCCCGAGAAGUGCGUCUUCGGUGUACCUCGAGGCAUGCUCCUAGGCUACAUCAUUUCGCAGCGCGGCAUCGAGGCCAACCCCGAGAAAGUCUCGGCCAUCACGAGAAUGGGGCCGAUCCGAGACAUCAAGGGCGUACAGAGAGUCACGGGGUGCCUGGCGGCUUUGAGUCGUUUCAUCUCGAGACUAGGAGAAAAGGCAUUACCAUUGUAUCGACUCCUAAAGAAGGUCGAGCGCUUUUCUUGGACCCCCGAGGCCGAGGAAGCCCUCGAGAGGUUGAAAAAGACGCUGACCUCGGCACCAGUCCUGGUUCCACCUCAACCUGCAGAGCCGCUGCUCCUCUACGUCGCGUCGACGACCCAGGUCGUCAGCGCGGCGGUGGUGGUCGAAAGACAAGAGGAGGGUCAUGCGCUGCCAGUCCAAAGGCCAGUCUAUUUCGUCAGCGAGGUGCUUUCGGAGACCAAGGCGCGUUACCCCCAAAUCCAGAAGCUGAUCUACGCCGUAAUCCUUGCCCGCCGCAAACUGCAGCAUUACUUCCUUGGUCAUCCUAUCACGGUGGUCUCUUCUUUCCCCUUGGGCGAGAUAAUCCAGAGCAAGGAGGCCACGGGAAGAAUAGCUAAGUGGUCGGUCGAGCUCAUGAGCGAGACUCUCACUUACGCGCCUCGAAAGGCCAUCAAAUCGCAAGCCCUGGUAGACUUCGUCGCGGAAUGGACAGACUCCCAGCUUCCCCCGACUCAGGUCCAGGCGGAGCUAUGGACAAUGUAUUUCGACGGGUCACUCAUGAAAACUAGGGCCGGGGCCGGCCUGCUGUUCAUCUCACCCUUGGGCGUCCACAUGAGGUACGUAAUCAGGAUUCAUUUUGCCGCAUCUAACAAUGUCGCAGAAUAUGAGGCCCUCGUCAACGGUCUCAAGAUCGCUAUCGAGUUAGGAAUCCGACGCCUCGACGUCCGAGGUGACUCCCAACUCGUCAUCGACCAAGUAAUGAAAACCUCAAGCUGCCACGACCCAAAAAUGGAAGCAUACUGCAUGGAGGUCCGUCGACUCGAAGGCAGGUUCCACGGCCUCGAGCUUGUCCAUGUCGCUCGACGCUACAACGAGGCAGCCGACGAACUCGCCAAGAUCGCAUCGACUAGAGGCACGGUGCCGCCUGACGCAUUCUCAAAAGAUCUUCACGAGCCAUCCGUCGACCUAGGCACGGGAGCUGGCAUCGACGCCAUCGCCACCCAACCAACCAACGCUGUCGAUACGCUCUUGAUGGUGGAGAUAGAACGACGGCCAGGUUGACCAUUCGAUUGGCGUACACCGUUCCUCGACUGCCUUAGCCACGGCGAGUUACCAGAAGACAGGACAGAAGCCCGUCGUAUCGCUCGACGGGCUAAAUCAUAUGUGAUCUAUGGCGAAGACAACGAGCUAUAUCGACGGAGCCCGAUAGGGGUCUUACAACGUUGCAUCACCGUAGAGGAAGGCCGAAAACUCCUCGAUGACCUGCACUCGGGGGCUUGUGGCCACCACGCCGCCCCACGGACCCUUGUAGGAAACGCUUUUCGGCAAGGCUUUUACUGGCCAACGGCCGUGGCGGAUGCCAUCGAGCUCGUACGCUCGUGUCAUGGGUGCCAGUUCUACGCCAAGCAGACGCAUCUGCCCGCCCACGCUCUUCAGAUGAUCCCCAUCACCUGGCCGUUUGCGGUAUGGGGGCUCGAUUUAGUAGGACCUCUACAAAAGGCGAAAGGAGGGUACACCCAUUUGCUGGUGGCCAUUGACAAGUUCUCCAAAUGGAUCGAGGCUCGACCCAUCACCAACAUCCGCUCCGAGCAGGCCGUCCUUUUCUUCUCCGACAUCAUCCAUCGGUUCGGGAUCCCCAAUGUCAUCAUCACCGACAACGGCACUCAGUUCACCGGCAGAAAGUUCUUGGAUUUCUGCGAUCAGCAUCACAUCCGUGUGAACUGGUCCGCAGUAGCCCACCCUCGAACUAACGGCCAGGUCGAGCGUGCCAACGGCAUGAUUUUGCAAGGACUCAAGCCAAGGAUCUACAAUCGAUUGAAGAAAUUCGGCAAGAAAUGGGUCGAGGAGCUUUCCUCAGUCCUAUGGAGCCUUAGGACAACGCCAAGCAGGGCCACAAAAUACACCCCGUUCUUCAUGGUCUACGGCUCUGAAGCUAUCCUCCCCACAGACCUCGAGUAUGGGUCACCGCGACUCAAGGCUUACAACGAGCAAUCGAACAAAGAGACUCAAGAAAACGCGGUCGACCAACUCGAGGAGGCUCGAGGCAUGGCCCUCCUCAACUCUGCCAGAUAUCAGCAGAAACUCCGACGCUACCACGACAAGCACGUGCGCAAGAGGGACCUCAACGUAGGCGACCUUGUCCUACGACGCCGGCAAAGCAAUCAAGGACGCCACAAGCUGACUCCACCUUGGGAAGGCCCGUAUGUGGUGGCCGAGGUUCUUAAGCCAGGAACGUACAAACUGGCGGACGAAAAGGGGGCAAUCUUCACCAACGCAUGGAACAUCGAACAGCUACGUCGAUUCUACCCCUAGAAGUCCUAGACUUACGAUCCUACAUUUUGUACAAAGACUUUGUAAAUGAACGCAUGAAUAAAUAAAGUCUUUCCCUCGAGCGGUUUCUUUCUGUACCAGAAAUAGUUACGAGUCAUAGUCUCGACGUUAAAAGGGGAUGCCGACCAUGACCCAUCAUAGUCCGCACCCCCUCGGGGGCUACCAGAGGGACGACCCCUCCCCAAGCGUCGAAAAAGCCAAGAAAUUUUCCUUUCUUGCUUGGUAAACCUUGCACGGUUCGAGUAGCUAAGGCGCCUCGAUCCCCUCAAAGGCCGAGGGAUAAUGAGCCGGAGAACUCCCACGCCCCUGGGCUACGGAAACUCUACUCACUUCCUCACCCUUGAGGUAAUCGAGGUUGUUUUUGACGAAAGAGCGAGCAAGGGAUACAAACGUAGGAACAAAAAGAAACAAAGGAACCUCGAGCGGAAAGACAAAUAAGCAGUUAACAAUUACAAAAAGAUACUAUAUCACGUAACAGCAGAAUUAGUAAAGUAUCAUACAAGGGGCCUCAGGCGCCCUGAGCAGGCUCGCAGGCCUCAGUCCGCGGCACGAUCCUCACCGCCCUCGCCUCCGCCCGAGCUAGCCUCAAGAGGGAGCACCUCAGGCUCGAAGAGCUUGGCCAACCUUUCCCCAGGAGCCUCCGCGUCGUCGAUCAAGGCAUGGAGCCUCUCCUCGUUCUCCGCGUUGGUCUUGGAGAUGUCGGUGACGAAGCCAUGGGACACCACCUCCAUGUCGUAGGAAAAGCCCGAGCAGACAACCGCCAUCGCCCGCUUCACCCCGAUGUGGAGGGCGUCCCGCACCCGAUCUCGCAGCGUCACGCCUAUGUAGCACAACUGGUCGAUCAGGGCAUCACCUCGAGCGUCCUCCCAAGACUCAUCCAUAGGCUUGACCUCCCAAGAGGUCGAGAGAUCGCUUAUCGCCGUCCGCACUCGACGGUUCAAAGCAACCUCAGCCUCGAGCUGAGCCUUGGCGUUGCGAGCCUCGGCUUGGGCGGCCAGGAGUUCGUCCUUGAGCCCUGUAAAUGCCAAUACAAAGAAGCUUUAGGAAAAACUCAAGCAUACCUCGAAAAGGAAAUUCGACAAAGGAAAUAUACCUUUGAUGCUCUCCUCUAGGGCCGUGUUCUCGCUGACCAAUCUGGUGUUGGCACGCUCGAUCUCUCUGUUGGAGCGCGCCAGCUCAGUAUUGGCGACGUGGAGAUCUUCGAUCACCCUGCCAACCUGAGCGACGGCUCCACUCUUCUCCAGCAAUUCUCCCUUCAGACACUCGACGUCGUCAGAGAGACUGCGGGAUCGAGCUCGCUCCAUCUCGAGGUCUUCGAGGGCCUUCUUCUUUGUGUCCUCGGCGGCACCCCUGACGACCUCAUUAUCCACAUACGCCACUUUCAUCUUCUGGAAGGAAUCGCGGAGGGAGUCCAAGUCGGUUUGGAGAAGGCCCUUCUCCUUGUCCAGGUCCGCAAUGACGCUCUUGUAGGAUAGGGCUUCCUCCCGGGCUCUGGACGCGGCCUCCUCGACCGUAAGAGCCCGCUCCCGUAGCUGCAUCGCCUCCUCCUCCGCCUUCUUCGAGACCUCUCGGGCCUCGGCCAAAGCAGCCUCCCUCGCCUUCUUCUCCUCCUCGAGUGCUAUGAGAUCUUUGUAAGCUUUAAGCAGCUUUUCCUGCGACUCGAGGAGUUGAUCCUUGAGGAGGGGAAGCUGCUCCCAUCCACCCCUCGUGGCAUGUAUGAAGCUGGACUUGAUGCGAGAGGUCUCUUUCAUAUCCUGCGAAUCAGGGGUCGGAUGGAUUAGAAUACAGAAACCAGAAAGCACAAUAAAGAUUGGAGUUUGAGAAACACUUACAAAAUAAGCUGGCCCGAGCCCGUUGUUGAUGACGUCCGAUAGGAGCCCCACCACGUGUUUCAUCCAAAGGUGGAGCUCCUCGACAUGCUCCCACUUCUCGACCUCCUUCUUGUCGUCGAGGAAGACGUUGGGCUCGGACGGGUCGGUGGAAGCUCGGAUACGAAUCCGAUCGGGACACCAGUUCUCCAUCUCCCGAUCAGCCCGCGCCUUGACGCCGCGGAUAAAGUUCUCGACGGUCUCGAGGGAACCCCCGUGGCGUAAGAACAGGUCGGCGAGGCAAGGGAACCGCCCGUCGUCGUCCACCGUCUUCCAUGUGCCGUCCUUGCUCCCUGACGACCCAAUCUCGUCCUCCUCAGAGGAAAAGCGGUCCUCCCAUGCUCGACGCUCCCGGAGGAACCCCGGGGCGAUCCCGUCCAUGCCGUAGAUCGUCCUCUUAAUCUCGGACUCGGGGUCGGUGGGGGUGCGCAUCAUACAGGCGAGCGCCACGACUCCGUCCGCUCGCCCCGACUCUGCCCGGAUCGCGGCAGGCGCCCCCGGGAGGAGCCACGCUGGGGUGGGAGGCCCGUACACCGGCAAGUUUCCCUCUUGAUCGCCGGGCUCUUGCGACGCCAGUGGUGCCGGUUCGGCCAAACCUUGAGGCGGGGGCUCGAGUGGCUCGUCCUCUUGGCCCCCCAGCUGCUGCCGCUGUUGCUGCCCCAGCUGCUGCUGCUGCUCCUCCUGCUGAUGCUGCAGCUGCUCCUCCGGCUGGGGUUGCUGCUGCUGCUGCUCCAGUGACGGCUGCGUUGCCUCGCGCUCCCGCUCCUCCUCCUCCUCCAUCUUCCUUUGCGCCUCGAGAGCUCGAAGGCCUGCAGGCCAGGGAGUCCGUCCCGCGACGUUGGGGGUCGACGCUUCUUCCUCCAUAGGGCGAGCGCCCCCAGACGUUUUGUUGCCAUCAGACGUAUCGCUGAUGGUGAUGGGUUCCCCCUCGACCCCCAAUCGAGGGGGCUCGGGGGCUCCCUCUGACGCUCGCGUCUGGGGGGCCGCAUCAGGAGUCGGCGGCGACGGAGUAGGCGCGGGACGAGAUGAAGCCCUCUCGACGCCGGCUGGAGGUUGGGGGCUGGAUGAGCCUACGAAACAAAGGGUAAGGGUCAGACGUUAUGAUAACCAACAUAAGAACAUCGCGACGCCCGGGAAUUAACUACGAACCUGGUUCCUUGGAGGCGGCACCCGUUCUGAGCCUCUUGGCCAUAGACGGUUGGGCCUGCUCAAGGGUCCGCUUCAGCCUGAGAAAAGGUCGGCAUAAGAGGAAAGGUGGAAGAAUGGGAAGACAAAAACCGCAACAUCAAAAAGGCUUACCCCACGGGGAGAACGGCUCGCCUUCCGCCACCCCGACCAGCGGGCCUGGAGCCACCCCGCGUCGGGGCUCCAGGCCCCUCGAGGGCACGAACUGGCUUAGGUACGUCGGUCCCCGCCUGGCGGACGCCGGGACCCGCGCUCCUACGGCUGGCGUCUCCUUUCUCAGAGGCCGCGGCGCGACCACGAGUUAGCGGCCCCGACGCCUGGGACCCAGCCGGGCCGCUCUCCCUGGGCACCGGGGGAGGGAGCGGUGCGUCUUGGCCCGCCUUGGGCGCGGGAGGGGUGUCGGCCCGGGGACGACGAGAUCCGCUCGGACCCUCCUCUGGCGCCUCCGUCCGGGGGGCGUCGACGUCACCUCGAGGCGGGCCCUCGAGGAUCCGAUCGAGGCGCGACGCCAUCCCCUCGGAGUCGUCGCUGCCCUCGUCGUCAUCGUCAUCAUCGUUGGGGGAUUCUUCCUCAGGCUCCCCCCUCUGCCUGGAUUUGGCUCGACGCGCCUCUAAUGCUUGGCGGUCGAGGUUCUUUUUCUUCUCCCCCUUCUUUGCAGAGUCCUUGGCAGACUUCAGCUUUUCGGCGGAUUGGCGCCGUUUCUCGCGAUCGACCUCGUCCUCCUUUACCGGAGGCCUCGAGGACCGGACAUCAAUCCGACCCUGCCAAAACUACAGUAGACUUAGAAAAAAGAGAGGGGAGAAAGGAAACCCAGAAUCGGGGAUGCGCGCAAGAAGAAAGCGUACCAGAUCGAUCGAGCCUGCGUCAGGUCUCAUGGGGAAGCCGUUGACAUGCUCCGGCUGAAAAUCACCGGCAAUGGCGGCCCUGACUCGGGCCGCGACUUCGUCGUCCGCCGGAGCCUCGUUGGACAUCCGACACGCCUCGAGGUCCCGAGAUGAGACGCCAGGGCCUAUCUCGUCCAUCCUCAACGGUCGUGACAUCAGAGGGAGAACCCUCCGGUGAUGGACGGCCGAGAGGACAAGGGUGGCGGUCAAACCUUCCUGGCGAAGCUUCUUCAGGGCGUCAAGGAGGGGGUCGAGCCGAGACUGAUGAGCUUGGACGACGCCGUACGUCCAGUCCGCUAGACGCUCCAAGAUCAAACGGCCCGAGUAGGAAGGCAGGAGGUUGUCGUCGUUCCGCAGGUAGAACCACUGGGAGUCCCAGCCGGCGUGGUUGGUCGAUAACCCUAUCGGGAUGUACUCCCGCGGCCGGUACGUCUUCCCCGUCUUCUGCACCAGAUUGAGGCAACCCGCCCGCACGGGUUUCCUUACACCCGUAGUUCCGGUGGGGGCGUGAAACAGCUCGCCCCUGUAGAGGUGGAGCCACAGCUCCCAGUGCGGCAUCAUCCCCAGGAAGCCCUCACACACGGCGGCGAAGACCGCCGCUACGGUGAUGGCGUUCGGAGAGAAGUGCUGGAGCUCCACCCCAUAAUGGAAGCAGAGGGCCCGCAUGAAGCGGCUUGGGGGCGCGCCCAGACCGUGGCGGUGGAACUUGGCGAACGACACCACAUAGCCCUCGGGCGGCUGAGGCCCCCUGUGACUCGCCGGCGGCGCGAUCCACUCUGGCGACGACAGCGAGGUGCGGCGGCGCAGCAGUCCCUCCUUCUCAAGCUCUAACAGCCGGCGCUCCGUCAUCGACGAUGGGCGCCAGUCGUCGGCGGCGACGAGUCUUACAGGCAUCUCAGCUGAAGGGACGGUGGUUUCACUACAGCUCGAGGGGGCGUGUGCACGUGAGACGGCGAGAAAGCAAAGGCAGCAAAGGAAUAAGAGCGAGAAGGCGGAAGGGAGAGGAACGGCGGCGACGCCACGACGUACUUAUAGGCAGCAGUCCGCCAAUGGACAGAUCCAAGAAAUAAGGUAACUCCCCCAUAAAUGCGCCGUCUGACAGUCCUUUCUCUCCUCACAGGCCGGACGCUCCGAACUCCCCGCCGGUACAGUGUUGCGAUGUCACUUACCUCAAAAGGUGCGCCCAAUGGGCAGAAAGACGAACCGGCACGACAGCUUCCUUACUUCGUAAGCCAAGGUAUGCGCCCACGAUAGUCUCGAGAGGUCGAGGGCUGGCCCGUCGAAAGGGUUCGACAGCCGAUCUCGAGCACCAAGAGUCAGGGACCCCCAGCGAGUGGUCGAAAAUCGAGGCCCGCCUCGAAGUCUCGCUGGCGAUGUCCAAGGUAGGGUUGAGACAGUCGAGAGGAAUCCCCCGAAGGGAGGCACCGAGCCGCUGGACUCUAUCGAACGAGACCGGUAUCCUCGACCACGUCGACCCUGCAUUAUGAGGACGCCUCCGGGCUACAGCUGACCCCCUCGAAAGGGGCACAGGUUCUCACUUGGACUACCCGCUAGGAACUCAAACUGGGGUGGAAGACGCUCGCUCUAUCGAGAGUACGUCGAAACCUCCAAGCAAGGCAAAGCCGAACAGAACCUUCCACCACGGGUGUUGACAGCGUUUCUGCAAGAUUUGGUGAAAUAAGCCCCGCUAAAGGAACAAAACUACAAUAAAAAAAAACAUCGGUGAAAUAUGUAAGUUGAACACUUAUAGGUUUGAGCGGCGGUGGGUCGCGGUAAACCUCCUUCUCGUCCGACCAGUCCGCACCUGUGCUCCCGACUCCCCAGCGCGAGGCGCAGGUGGAUCGACGGCCACACGGUCGACAGUGGUCGUCCCUCCGUCCGGACGGCUAGGAGGCCUCCGGACCAACGACGGAAUGGCCUCCUCCUCCUCCUCGUCGGUCAUCCGAGCGAACCGACGCCGCUUCGGCGCUCGGCUGCUCUCCGCCGGCAGUGUCGGCAUCAGCGACGGAUCCACAGGCAUUGGCCUUUUCCCCGACACCCUUUCCUCGGUGGUUGGGAUGGGGCGGGCUUGUUCCUCCUAACUGCUGGUGUAAUGAGCACACCGAGCAGCGUCCUCCUCUAGCGGGUCUUCUCCCGCAGGAUUCUCCAUCCCCGGUGCCAGUGAUACAUACACUGUGCACCGGUCGACAUCGUCGAUCUGCAAAAAGCAACAAAGAUGAGCCAACCACAUACGAUAUACGAAUACUAAAACAAAAUAAUCUGCAACAUACCUUUGGUGUUGGUCGGCCUAACUUGAAGGCUUGCACCCGAUCACUGCCACGGAUGAAGCCUCCGUCCGCGAAGUUCAACAGCUCGUUCAACAGCCGUUGUACCUCCGCCUUCUCCAAGAUCUCCGGUCGCAUCCUGGUCGGGUCCACGCUUCCGGCAUACUCGUACGCCGAGUGCACCCUCUUCUGGCAGGGCAUCACCCGAUGACAAAUAAAGUUGCCGACCAUGCCAAGCCCAUCCAGGCGCGACCAGUCGAUCAGCUUCGUCAGAUCCGCCACUUGACCGUCGAACUCCGGGCGAUCGGUCCAGCUCACCCUCUUCUCGGGAAUGUACCCCACGUCGCAGAACGUGGAGCUGCCCGGUUCCUCCCUGACGUAGAACCACUUCCUAUACCAUUCGGUCAAGGAAGUGUUCCAUGGACAGUGCAGGUAGUGAUUCUUCAUUCCAUCACGAAGGUUGAGGUAUACUCCACCUGCGACCUUGGAGCCUCCAACUGCUCCCUUCUUCCUCAAGCAGAAAAGGUAACGAAAAAGAUCGAAGUGCGGCUCUAUGCCAACAUAGGCCUCGCACAGAUGAAUAAACGUGGAGAUAAGGAGAAUUGAGUUCGGGUGCAGAUUGCAAAUCCCGAUCUCAUAAUACAAAAGAAGACCUUGGAGAAAAGGAUGAACCGGAACCCCAAAUCCCCUCUUAACGAAAUCUUCGAACACGACGAUCUCACCGGCACGAGGGUCGGGGAAGCUUUCUCCUUCUGGCGCUCUCCAGCCGCCAAGCUCCGAGCUGUGCAGGAGUCCCAUGUCGACGAGGUCACCGAGGGAUUUGGUGGUGCUGCGGGACUUCUUCCACUCCUUGGCCAUCAUUUCGGCCCUCUUCUUGGAGUCGCUCUUCGCCAUUGGAGGUGAGAAGUGGAUUUGGGUUACGAAGAUGCAGGUGAUCGAAAGAGGCGAGAAUGGAAGGCUUGAGGGCAAUGGCAGGGUAAGGAGUACAGGCGGAACUGUCAGGCUCUUAUAACCCGCAACUCCACCUCUCCCAUUUCCUGUAUUCUCGGGAAGUGGGCGGGCCAUGCGGCGGAUGCGGCGUUUCGGUUUACAAUGAUUAUAGACAAUUAAUGCCGCGGAGUUUUCGUACCAAUUGAUGGUUUCCUUUUUCUCAAACCACGCAAAGGGCGGCUGCGCAGUUGCCAGGCGCAACUUUUCAUGCGUCCAUCUGACAACCCAUCAGGAGGUCUCGUCAUGUCAACUUUAACUGAAAAGAUCGUUUCAAUAAAAAGAAGACAAAUAUGCCAGAGAGUCAACAAUCCGAGGACUGCACCGACCACCGAGCAAUUGAUGCUCGGGGACUGGUCGCCCAGUCCAUCAGCUCGGAACUUCAAAGACUGCACCGACCACCGAGCACUCGACGCUCGGGGACUGGUCACCCAGUCUAUUAGCUCGGAACUUCAAGGACUGCACCGACCACCAAGCACUUGACGCUCGGGGACUGGUCGCCCAGUCUAUCAGCUCGGAACUUCAAAGACUGCAUCGACCACCGAGCACUCGAUGCUCGGGGACUGGUCGUACAGUAUAGCAACGCAGAAUUCUAAGGAGCGCACUUGGUGCUUGGGGACUGGUCGUCAUACUAUUAUACACCCGGGGACUGGUCGAUUAGUCUAUUCAAUUGCAGACGGACUGGUAAAUUCAAUUUUUUAGACCUUGCUACAAGGCUCAUACUUCGCCUUCCAGCAAGCUCGGGGACUACAUCGAUACGAUGCAUCUGGCGAUGCAUCUCAGUUACAGAAUUUCUUUUAGCACUUUUAUUUUGACCCUGGCACCACGUGCCUAUGUCACCUACUACCAGGCUCAGGGACUAAGUGGGCACACUUCACCUUGCGGUGAAUAUGCUUGCUUUUUUGAUGUUUAUACCUUUCAGAAAAGUAAAGUGGGCACACUUCACCAGGAAAGAAAUCUUUUUUAAUUUAGAGCACCAUGCAUUCUUCGAACAACUCGCUUCUUCGAUGUCAAUGUUGAUCAACUGUCUUUUGAGUUGGUCAAAGAACCGUUGCAACUGUUUGGGCGACUUUCCUGCUUAUUGAAGACGUCAAGCCUCACUGAUCGAAGAAGCUCAAGACGGCGUGUUACAUCACAAUACAUGGUGCUCGAGGACUAGCUGUGGGGGGAUAGACCCCUAUACCCUUACGGCUAGACAUGGGCCAGGAGGCUUGGCCCAUUACGAGACGAGUUCAAGGCUUGAUCCGACAGCCUGGAGUUUCGCGCAAGGAAGCAAGAUGUGGAGAUCAAGCAGGAUUCUAGUCGGUUAGAAUAGGAAUUGAUAUCGAACUAUCUAUGACAAUUGUAACCGACUAGGAUUAGUUUCCAGAUCUAUAACCCUGCCCUUCAGACUAUAUAAGGAGAGGCAAGGGACCCCCCUAGGACAUACGAUUCUCUCAACACAAAUCAAUACAACCAGACACAGGACGUAGGUAUUACGCCAACUCGGCGGCCGAACCUGGAUAAAAAGCUUGUCCGUGUCUUGCGUCCCCAUUGAGUUCGUAGUUUGCGCACCAUCUACCGAUAAACUACUACCGUGGGUAUACCCCAAGGUAGACUGCCGACCAGCUUUCGUCGACAGGCUGUAUUUCCAACAGACCUCGAAUAUGGGUCACCUCGACUUAAAACCUACAACGAAUAGACAAACAAGGAAACUCGGGAGAAUGCGAUCGACCAGCUCGAGGAAGCUCAAGACAUGGCCCUCCUCAACUCAGUAAGAUACCAGCAGAAGCUUCGACGCUACCACGACAAACACAUGCGCAAAAGAGACCUGAACGUGGGCGACCUCAUCCUACAUCGACGGCAAAGCAAUCAACGACGCCACAAGCUGACUCCACCCUGGGAAGGCCCGUACAUGGUGGCCGAGGUCUUGAAGCCAGGAACGUACAAGCUCACGGACAAAAAGGGUGUGGUCUUCAACAACGCAUGGAACAUCGAACAGCUACAUUGCUUCUACCCCUAGAGCUUUGAGGCUUUACAUUCUCAUGCGCAUCUUGUACCAUCGAAGCCCUAUGAAUGAUUAUGUGAAUAAAUGAAAGUACUUUUUUAAGUAAUGCAUGUUAUUACCAGUUAAAUCUCAUCGCUAGGAGGAAGUCUCGACUAUGACCCAUCAUAGUUGAAACUCCCUCAGGGGCUAGCAGCGGGACCCCCCCCCACAAGCUCCUAAAUCGAACGAUUUUUCAAAAAGCUCAACAUUAUCUCUUCCCUUUCAAGCCCUAAGGAAACCUCGCACGAUCGAGUAGUAAAGAUGCCUCGAGCCCCUUAAGGGCCGAGGGACGUCGAGCCUGAGAAUCCCUACGCCUCCGGGCUAUGGUAACUCUACUCACUCCCUCACCCUUGAGGCAAUCUAGGUCGUCAUAACAAAAGAUCGAUCCAGGAACACAAACUUAGGAAACAAAGGAAAUUCGAGCAUAAAAGCAACAAGAAUAUAUAGAAACCACGAAUUCCAAGGCCACUAAGGCCACAAUGUUUAACACUAAGUAUAUUACAAUGGGUCUAAGUACCUAGAUUAGGCUCACAGGCCUUUAGUCUUCACUUCUGCCUUCCCCACCGUCUUCCGUGCCCGCGCCUGUUGACGGUGGAUAUACCAUAGAAAUCCACAUACAAAACACCGUCAACAUGCCUCGGUUGCAAGGGGAAAUGACAUGACAUGAACAUAUUUUAUCCAUAACUAGUUCCACUUGUACUCUUAGCUUGUUUAUGCAGGAACAACAAAUUCAAGACAUUAUUUGACAAAGCCAACAUCAGAAUCAUCAAGAGGAGAUCGAGGGGACAACAGGUGACACCCUGGGCCCACAGGGAGGGGGUCGCCCGACCCCUCUUUGGUGGGACCCAGGUGUGCCACCUACUCCACCGACAUAAGGGACCAUUGUGGACACUGCUGGUGGGCCCAGGUGGUCAGGAGUGGGGUCGCCCGACCCCACAUGUAAGGCGGUUUCAGGGUCGGUGGCCUCCCACCGACCUUCCCCACAUGUCUCACGUGUUGGUUUGCCCCUGCCGUUGAUCAAAUGGCGGUUGUGAAGUCGGUUUGAUCCAAGGGUGGAGAGGCAUGAUCACACGGAUCGAUGACGUGGCGGUGGAGUAGCCCCUACUCCACCUCUCCCUAUAAAUAGAGGCUGAUUUCACCCUUCCAAGGCAUGAUGAAUUCAAGGUUCAAGUGAUCCAAGCUAGAUACAAGUGAGUAGUAGUAGUGGUAGUCUAGUGUGGGAGUUAGAGUUGAGUCGAGCGAAGCUCGGGGUCUCCGGAGUCGUCUUCUGGAGAGUCUGGUAUAGCUCUUGUAUCUUUUCUCCUGUAAGACUUGUUUUCUUAAUAUAUUCUCUUUCUACUUUUCUAAGUAUUACUUUGUGCAAUAUUAUUCUUGCAAUAGUAUUGUAGUGUUCUAUCUUGUCCUUUAGUAGUUACAUAUUAGAUUGUGAUCCUGUAACAAGCUCGUGGCUGUUUCCCAUCGCCUUUAGCAAGGUGCUAUAGUUGUUUGAUCGCAGCUACAGUAGUGAGAGUUAGCGUAAGCGCGGUGCUUAGGCUAGGUCUUGCCUUUGGGUGUCGCUGGCUCGGACGGAAAGUAGGGGCGCACUCCCUAGUAGGUGACAGAUCGUGGGCGGCAUUAGGUUCUCCUCACGUACGAGCUAGUUCUUAAAAGAUAAGGCGUCCAUAAGCCCAAUAGUCGCUUUCGGUAAGGGGUUAGGUGAAAAACCUUUUAAGCGUCUUACCAGCUCGGCUAUCCCUGGCAGCCAUUAGUAAGGUAUCAAUCUAGUGUGUCUCUGCUAUUUGAUUAAGAUUAGUUCACGAGAGUAGAAUUAGAUAUCCUAGGAACCUGUACUCACUCGUUGUCCUCCCACCUAGCUACUCUACUCUAGUUAUCUUGUAGUUAUCCUUUUUGAUUAUCUCUGGAUCAUCAUCAUCCCUUCCUUCACCUUUCGUUACCACCACUCUGCACUAGUUGUAACUAAGUUGAGAUAGGAUCUCUUUUCUUACAAGCAUUUCUAGCUAUUGCUUUCCCUUGGGAAAAUAUAAAUUACGAUACCUUGGAAUACUCCCGGGUGAAGUGCUACAGCGGUACCUUCUGUGCGCUUGCGGAAUUAUCCAAUAGUUAAUAGAGUUACCACACCAGGCACUUCUGGCGCCAUCACCGAUAUCCGGUGGUUGCGUUAAGAAGUGCCAACAAGCAUUUCUGGCGCCGUUGCCGGGGAAAGCAUAGCCUAGAAAUCUUAGUAAGAACGAAUCCGAAAAAAAAAUAUAUCAUCAACUUAGUAUCAAUUAGUUGUAGGGGGGGUUUACCCCUUGCCUUUGUUUCUCUAUAUUGUGAAGCAGGGCAUUGUAUGAGUGAGUUCCAAUUCAAGGCCACAUUAGAAAAUCCUGAGACAUCCCGACAGAGUCCUAGACACCGUCUAGUAACUUAUCGGAGAUCCAGCUCAUACUUGAAUUCACUCAAGGAAGGAGGCUUAGCACCGACACUCUACCAGUCAAUGGCUUCCUCAUCAAUCUCCGACUUCUCAUCUCCAUCAGUUGCCCAUGUUACCAUUGGACCGAGGGUGGAGGUCGAAGAUGUCGACUUUGAGAUUAAGCCAUCACUUAUCACUAUGGUGCAAGCAAGUACAUUUAGUGGGAAGCCACAUGAAGAUGCAAAUGCACAUCUCCAACACUUUUUGGAAGUGUGUAGCACUAUUGCCAUCAGAGGGGUAACGGCCGACGCCAUCCGCCUUCGCCUAUUCCCAUUCUCAUUGUUUGGGAAGGCAAAGCAAUGGUUUUUCGCUCAACCCGAUGAUGUCAACACCUGGAGAAGAUGUGCCAAUGCAUUUCUCAAGAAAUUCUUCCCAAUGGGCAAGACAUCUGCUCUGAGGGCAAAGAUUUCAAGCUUCCAACAGAAGGCAGACGAGACUAUUCCCGAAGCAUGGGAACGUCUCCAGGAGUACAUUCAAGAGUGUCCACAUCAUGGAAUUAAAGAGUGGCUCCUGAUUCAAGGUUUCUACCAUGGGCUGACUCCAGUAGCUCGUAGCCACCUUGAUGCCGCCGCAAGAGGAGCGUUUACCUCCCUCAAUGUCACUCAAGCUAAAACUCUCAUUGAGAACAUAGUGACAAAUCAAACAUGGAGAGAAGAACGCCCUCAACUCAAGAAGAGAAGCACGAAAACCAUUGAAGAGGUAAAUGAAAUAUCUCACAAGAUGGAGUUCUUGUUGAAGAAGUUGGAUGAACGAGCCAAGGUAAAGAAAGAUCGAGAGGCCAUCCAACAAUAUGCCACUGCACGUGCGAACCAACGGAGCAGGGUGCAAAAUGCAAGCCAUGAAGCUGUGCAAUCCUUCAACAAUGGACGACCAACUUCGCGCUUCCAGGGCCAAGGUAACUCUAGUAACUCUAACUGGCUUUCACUUAAAGAACUUGUCAUUAAUCAAGCUAAAAUCAAUGAAAGCAUGAACAAAAGAUUGUUAGCUAGUGACAAGACUCUUGAAUCAUUAACUGCUAAAAUGGAUUCCCUUGUUUCUUCUGUUAAGGACCAAUUAAACUUUAAUAAAAUUUUAGAGUCUCAAAUAGCACAAAUUGCUGCUACUGUUCCUUCUUCUGUAAAUUCUUGCAAUAUCUUUAAUGUGACCACGAGAGGGGGUAAGACCACUCGUGAUCCACCAUAUCCUGACAUGACAAAAAAGACUGCAAGAAAAGAUAAGGAAGUUGAGGAAGACAAGGAAGAAGCACCAUCUAAGCAGGAAAACACCAAGUUCUAUGGAAAGACAGCUCCGCACGAGUUCUACGACACCAACAUUCUGCUGCCAUUUCCAAGAACAAGGAAGCCAACCACCGAUGAACAAUUCGGGAAGUUUGUUGAGGUAAUUCGGCAAUUAUAUGUCAAUAUUCCACUACUUGAUGCAAUGCAGGUUCCAACCUAUGCCAAGUAUUUGAGAGACAUCCUCAACAACAAACGCCCGCUGCCUACAACUGAGGUGAUUAAGCUAACAGAAGAAUGCAGCGCGGCGAUACUAAACCAACUACCAGAAAAGAAGAAGGACCCUGGAUGUCCUACCAUCGACUGCUCCAUUGGGACACAUCACUUCGAGCAUGCACUGUGCGACUUGGGAGCAAGUGUCAGUGUCAUGCCAAAGGUAAUAUUUGAUAAACUAACCCAUGCUGUUUUGUCCCCUACAUCAAUACAUUUGCAGUUAGCGGAUCAGUCAAUUCGCCAUCCUGCGGGGGUAGCUGAGAAUAUCCCCGUAAAGAUACGCGAGUUCCUGGUCCCUGUGGAUUUCGUGGUACUCGACAUGGAGGUGGAUGAAAAGACUCCACUUAUCCUGGGAAGACCAUUUCUCAGCACUGCUAAUGCACAUAUUGACGUUGGAGCCGGAGAAAUUCAAUUUACAAUCAAUGGGGCCCAGGAGAAGUUCAACUUCAAACCAAAGGUAGUGCAAUGCUCACUAAUCUUGGCAGUGGAUGUGGCAACCGUCACAUUCAUAACUAGGCCAAAGAAAAAGACCAAUCCAACGCCAAGAGCAAAGAGCAAGAAAAUAUGGAAGAAGAAGGUAAUACAACCGAUGACACCUCCGAAGAAAAUUUCUGUAUCAACUCAAGGAGGAGGUCCUGUUCUAAGGACCUGAGGUAACAGCUCUUCCAUCAAGGUAAGCCCACUGACCUUUAACUUUAAGUUACUUAUUAAACUUCCUUCAUCUUUUCCAACCCUUCUAUCAACUUGAGUUAAGACAAGUAAAGUAAAAAUAAAAACUCACUGAGCAAGGUGGACACCAGGUGGGGCCCAAAGGGGGGUCGCCCGACCCCACUUUGGUGGCCCCCACCUAUCAUCUCGUGUCCUUUGCCACUUCCUGUCAUGACAUGCUAUGCUCCAUUCAAGAAAACACCAAAACAUUACCAUGUCAACUCAUGUAAUCCCACUUGAUCAACGAAUUGAACCGUGCAUGAGAAUUCUCUAACUCUUUCAUCUAUUUUUCUUGCAUGUGCUUGUUCUGUUACUAGUGUAGUGUGUCCAGCAUUACUCAAGAGUGAGAGGAGGGGUCGGCCGACCCCAUGGUUGGCCCCACUUCCUCCCCUCCUCUGGUGUAUGGCAGCACAAGUAAUGUAGGGAGAGUGAGUAUAGAAAUAAAGACUCAUAAACAUCAACACUCACCCUAGGAGCUAGAGUUUCUAGUUCUCAUCCCCUGCUUCCACUAAAACGUAAGUGAAAUUAGGAGACACUGCUAACUUAACAAAAACCAUCUUCUUCUUUCUAAAGUCACUUAAGCAACCUCUAGACAAAUCACUCUUGCUAAGUAUGGGAAAGAUACUUGCUUAAAGCCUUAAGUAAAUCAACAUUUUGAGAAGCUCAUCCCGUGAAGCAUCUCAUGAGCAAACAUCCACCCAUCUAGUCUUGUCUUGUUCCCUCCUUUCUCUUUCACCACAUUCCAAGAAGAGAUUCUUUGAGAAAACAUCCAAAAGAAAGGAGAGAGUGAGUGGAGAUGGGGAACCAGCCAUGGCACACAUUCAUCAUCAAUCUGGUGAACAGCUAGCGCAAAGAGGAGGUGGUGAUGGGGUCGCCUGACCCCCUCCCUGCAGCAUUUCUUAUUUCUUUCUUUCCCAUCCAUCUUUCCUUGACACAAGGUGUUGGCCAUUUGUGGUUUCGUGGAAAAAGAGGGGUCGGCCGACCCUGACAAAGUGCCCUCUGCACUUGUCCUCUCUUCAAUCCACUCACUCAUUCACUCACAACCACUUUCCUCUACUAGCAACUCAAGAAAAUCAUCAACACUCUUCCUUUCACUUUCCCUAUUGCUCAAGUGUUCACCCGUCGAGAAAUCAAGAGAGGUAAUCAGCCGGUAAGAAGAGUUAAAAUCUAAACUAACCUCUCUGGUGGAAGUGGUGUUCGUUAUUUUCUUGAUCUAGCAUGAAGAAUCCACUCAAGAACAUAGGGAAGAAAGUGCGUGGAGCGUUUAGCAGAAGCUCAUCAAGGCGCUCCCAUGGCACCAUGAGUUCGGUAGAAGAGUACUCCUCUCAUCAGGGACUUCCCUCUGAGACUCAUGAGGAGCAAGAGCAUGAGGCCAUGCCACAGCAAACACCACCUAAUGAAGAAGCAGCACCUCUACGGAUGCAAGAUAUAGAGACCGGACUUUUGCUCACCGUAGAAGAAAUGGAGAAGCUUAACCAUCUACGCCACCGUGAAUUCAAGCAUACCAAUGUAAUUGACCCUAAAUUCCUCAAAGACACAGGUAUGUAUGAGGAAUUCUUUGAUGUCUUUGCUGCAAUAGGAUGGGGUGAAUUUUGGGACUUUUCGGAACACCUAGGUAGCAAGAUUCUCACUCUAGAAUUUUUGAGCACCGUAAGGGUAACCGAAACAACCAUUUACUUUCGCCUAAGAAACCAAGAUUAUGAUUUCACAUGGGACCAUCUAGCUGCAUGUUUAGGCUUUUAUGAAUUUUAAAACCAACGUAGAAGUUGCCACAAGGGGUUUUAAUAGACAAGAAUUUUGGCAUGAAAUAACUGGGGAGAAUCUAAUUGGAAAUACUUACCCACGUACUAGCCAUAUCUGCCAUCCCACACUACGGUUCAUGCACAAAUGGAUAGGCAUCACUCUAUUCCCUAGAGAUGACAUUCGGAUUGUGCGGGAAAUUGAUAAUAGAAUUCUAUAUGCCAUGGUGAAUAGAAUUCGUAUUGCACCGGUAAAAGCCAUGGUACAUCAUUGGAUCACUAUAGCACGGAAGAAUGACCCAAUUGAGUUCACCUCUAUAAUUACAAAAUUGUAUGAUUACAUUUUGAUCCUUGAUGACACCAUCCAGUACAUACCCACUCCUAGAACUGUGUUAGGAAAAUAUCAUUUCAUUCAAGCAAAAGUAAUUACGCGUGGCCCCAAUGACACAAUUGAAUUUAUAUUGCGUAAAUCAAAUGCAAGACUCAUUUUGCCACAACCAGAGUUAAAAUUAUACGGGGGCCACCCGUUAAUGCCUAAUGUUCCUGGAGUUGGAGGACGUAGAAGUUUUGCAGGGCCAUUCACACGUGGACAGUCACGAGCUGAACAGCAAGAUGAUUCAGAUAAUGAGGGCACUUCCAAUGCCAUGCACACCUCCGGGACGGGGAGGAGACGUAGUGCCCGGUUGUCUCUUUCUUCUUCGCAGGAGAUUGGAAACCGCAGUCACCGUCAUGACAUGGAGCUACUCAGAUCAGGUAUGGCUACAUUGCGUACUAACCAUGAAGCCAUUCACACUGCCACUGUGGAAACCCAACAACAAAUCCAAAAUUUUGAGGAGAGCAGCAAUAGAAACUGGUGCCAAGCCUACACAUCAUAUCACCUGCCCGUACCACCAUACAUUCCUCAACCACCACAUGCAUAUCCACCUCCUCCUGCACAAUAUCCUCCACAGCAAUAUCCUCCACCAUAUCCACCAUAUCCAUCGUAUCCACCCCAGUGAGGAAGGACAAGCUUGGGGGAGAUCCUCUCCCCCACCAAGGUAAGUAUUCUAUCCUAUUUAUUUCCAUGCAUUUUAUCAUUCCUGCUCUAAAAAAAAAAUUAAAAAAAAUUAGCAUUUCCCUUUAGCAUAUAUGCUUCAUGUAUGUCUAUAUCCCUCAUGGAAAUGAUGACUAGUUGCUUGUUAAUGUUUCUCUAGUACCUAGUAUACAACUUAGUAUUUCUCCAAGUAUGGAUCACUUAGCUCACUUAAACUGCCAUGAACCUGAAAACUUUGUGGGUUGCAAGUGCUAGAACUAAGUCUAAGUUGUUGUGGGACAUGAGAUAGUGAGACAAGAGCUGCUAUAAUAUUAUUCUAAGCAUGCAUGAUUAUCAGAGAUUUAUUCUUAAAAUGAUCAAAACCUUAAUUGUUCCUCAAGGGUGAUGAAUUCCUACCACAGCUAUAUCUACUUUACAUGAUUGCAACCUUUCCACAUAAGCUAUUUGCUUUGUGUUGAGUGUCGUCAAGUCUUGUUGACCCCUGUUAAGAGACUUUUCAUGCUCCUAAGAUCAAGAUCACGUACACACCACAUAUAUAUAUGCUGCUUCUACACUGGAAGUACGCAACCACAUGUAUUUCGCAUCCACUAAAUAGGUUGCUCCAUACUCUAAAUGUUAGGAUAUCUCUCUCUAAGCAUUAUUUGGUAAAUGAGACAUCAAAAGCCUAGGCAAAAUGAAAUAAAAAGAUGGACAUGUGCAAGUCCACAAAAAAAAAUUGAGCACAUAAAGCUCGAAGAAAAAGAAAAUGCUAGCCAUGUCACAAUAUAUAAGUAGAGAGAGUGUAGCAAAUAAAGGAGCAACCUAGUCCACCAUAUAUCACACUUGCACAUCUUGAUCUGGGAGUAUGACACUUCUCUUCAGGGAUCCGAGCUUUGACUUCGCAACACAUGCAAAGUAAGUAUGCUAUCUCCUUUCAUCCCUACCUUAAGCUCCACAUAAGCCUUUUAGAAAUAGGAUGAAAUAGAGAAGGCAACUCUAUCAUAUGCCUUGGUGAGGAAUUAUACAUCAUUUGAGUGACAUGAGAGAACCAUAUGAGGAACAUUUAAGUUUUCUUUUGAAAAUAUCACAAAACCUCUGAUAUGAAACUUGCUAAGAAUGAGAAAGUUAGUGCUCAAGUCAAACUGUUCUGUCUUUCAACCACCUAAGAAAAAGGAAAAGCCAUAAGCCCCAUAAGGGACUAAGGUAAUAUGGGUAAGUUUACAUAGCUAAAUUUUUCAUGCAAAGAGAAGAACUUUGUUGUACACAUGGUACUCUUGAAAUGUGAACAUAGUAACAAUACCUGAUCCACCAAGGCUAAGUUUGAUUGUUUGCUCGGGACGAGCAAAGGUUAAGCUUGAGGGAUCUUGUUGACGGUGGAUAUACCAUAGAAAUCCACAUACAAAACACCGUCAACAUGCCUCGGUUGCAAGGGGAAAUGACAUGACAUGAACAUAUUUUAUCCAUAACUAGUUCCACUUGUACUCUUAGCUUGUUUAUGCAGGAACAACAAAUUCAAGACAUUAUUUGACAAAGCCAACAUCAGAAUCAUCAAGAGGAGAUCGAGGGGACAACAGGUGACACCCUGGGCCCACAGGGAGGGGGUCGCCCGACCCCUCUUUGGUGGGACCCAGGUGUGCCACCUACUCCACCGACAUAAGGGACCAUUGUGGACACUGCUGGUGGGCCCAGGUGGUCAGGAGUGGGGUCGCCCGACCCCACAUGUAAGGCGGUUUCAGGGUCGGUGGCCUCCCACCGACCUUCCCCACAUGUCUCACGUGUUGGUUUGCCCCUGCCGUUGAUCAAAUGGCGGUUGUGAAGUCGGUUUGAUCCAAGGGUGGAGAGGCAUGAUCACACGGAUCGAUGACGUGGCGGUGGAGUAGCCCCUACUCCACCUCUCCCUAUAAAUAGAGGCUGAUUUCACCCUUCCAAGGCAGGAUGAAUUCAAGGUUCAAGUGAUCCAAGCUAGAUACAAGUGAGUAGUAGUAGUAGUAGUCUAGUGUGGGAGUUAGAGUUGAGUCGAGCGAAGCUCGGGGUCUCCGGAGUCGUCUUCUGGAGAGUCUGGUAUAGCUCUUGUAUCUUUUCUCCUGUAAGACUUGUUUUCUUAAUAUAUUCUCUUUCUACUUUUCUAAGUAUUACUUUGUGCAAUAUUAUUCUUGCAAUAGUAUUGUAGUGUUCUAUCUUGUCCUUUAGUAGUUACAUAUUAGAUUGUGAUCCUGUAACAAGCUCGUGGCUGUUUCCCAUCGCCUUUAGCAAGGUGCUAUAGUUGUUUGAUCGCAGCUAGAGUAGUGAGAGUUAGCGUAAGUGCGGUGCUUAGGCUAGGUCUUGCCUUUGGGUGUCGCUGGCUCGGACGGAAAGUAGGGGCGCACUCCCUAGUAGGUGACAGAUCGUGGGCGGCAUUAGGUUCUCCUCACGUACGAGCUAGUUCUUAAAAGAUAAGGCGUCCAUAAGCCCAAUAGUCGCUUUCGGUAAGGGGUUAGGUGAAAAACCUUUUAAGCGUCUUACCAGCUCGGCUAUCCCUGGCAGCCAUUAGUAAGGUAUCAAUCUAGUGUGUCUCUGCUAUUUGAUUAAGAUUAGUUCACGAGAGUAGAAUUAGAUAUCCUAGGAACCUGUACUCACUCGUUGUCCUCCCACCUAGCUACUCUACUCUAGUUAUCUUGUAGUUAUCCUUUUUGAUUAUCUCUGGAUCAUCAUCAUCCCUUCCUUCACCUUUCGUUACCACCUCUCUGCACUAGUUGUAACUAAGUUGAGAUAGGAUCUCUUUUCUUACAAGCAUUUCUAGCUAUUGCUUUCCCUUGGGAAAAUAUAAAUUACGAUACCUUGGAAUACUCCCGGGUGAAGUGCUACAGCGGUACCUUCUGUGCGCUUGCGGAAUUAUCCAAUAGUUAAUAGAGUUACCACACCAGGCACUUCUAGCGCCAUCACCGAUAUCCGGUGGUUGCGUUAAGAAGUGCCAACAGCGCCAGUCUCAGGAGGGAGUACCUCUGGCUCGAAUAGCUUCGCCAGCCUUUCCCCAGGAACCUCUGCAUCAUCGAUCAAGGUGAAAGGAUCAAGAUGCCCAAGAGGGGGGGUGAAUUGGGCUUCUCUAAAAAUUUAAGCAACCUAUAAACUCCAAUUCAACCCCUUGUGCCUAGUGUGACUCGAGAGCUACCGGAUAAAAGUUUUGCAACCUAGUUCCAAUCCUAUUCUAGCAUGACAAUUCUAAGAAUGUAAAAGCACAAAGUAAAUGCUAGAAAGUAAAGGAAUAGUGGAAGAGAAUGCUCGGCGAUGUUUUGCCGAGGUUUCGAAGAGUCGCCACUCUCCACUAGUCCUCGUUGGAGCACCCAUGCAAGGGUCUUGCUCCCCCUUGGUCUGCGCAAGGACCAAGUGCUCUCUACGGGCUGAUUCUUCGACACUCUAUCGCGGUGAAUGUAACACUCCUAGUGCUAGCUUGCAUGUUAACCAUGAGUAUUGCAUCAACAUAAGCAUCAUCAUGAUCACUCAUAAGCAUCAUACCAUGAUCACAUGCCAACAUAUACUAUGUGAUUGGAUUGCUAUAUGACAUGCUAUGGCUGAUUGUAAUGGGUGACCAAUGCAUACAAGUGUACAAUCUUUUCCAAAAUACUUUAAUCAUGUUUAGAAUAACAUUUUGAACAAAGUUUAUGCUGGAGGUUUUGGCCAAAAAUGCCCCUAAGCCAUGGUUAACCUUAAGUUGACCUAAUUGACCCCCUAGACCUAUUUUCAAAGAUGUUUUAUGAAACUUGUGUUAGCGACCUUGCAUGUAAAUGACACCUAAACCAAAGUUGUAGUAAAUUUUAUAAUCUACAAAAGUUAUGUUUAUGACUUUUCAUGAAAAUGCUUGGAACCCAUUCAAAUUUAGCCCACAAGCCAGAAAUCAGUGCUGUUUUCACACUUAGCUGAAUUUGGCUAAGUCUGGGAAUCAGCAGAUUCGACAUAGGGUCAUUGGGAGCCUUGUGGUUUGAAAUCCAGGCCGAGUUAGACUUUGAUCUUGUAAGCAAACCUGUAGAUCUCGUGUAGCUCUAACCCAAGGAACAAAUUUGAGCCAAAACCAUCGAGUGAGACGUGAGUAAAACGUUGGCAAAGAUCGAGCUUCAGUCACUGGCCAUGGCGACUCAAUUGCCCGAUUCAGUUCGGACAGAACUCGCCCGCCGCUGCAUGUCCGGCCACCUGUUGGCCGUACGCCGUCGAUAACCCCUCCUGUCAGCCGCGACAUCGUCCACAAGACACCAUGCACCGAGUGGACGCCUCAGACGCGCCAUUUGCCCCUCCAGAGCGCCACAUUGCGUCCGCCUUCGUCCACGGCGAGCUCCGCCGCGCUUCGGCGAGCUCUCCCGGCCGCUCCACCGUGUCUCUGGCCUAGCCAGUCGACCUAGAGCUCCGCCUAGACGUCCUCUACCUUGACGUCCACUCCUUUCCUUUAGCCGAGCACUGGUGAGGCCGCACUGCCACCCCUGUCGCGAGCUCCACCUCGCCGGAGUUCGCAGAGAUCACCGGCGAUGUGGCCAGACCUCUCUAGUUCACCUCUGGCCGUGGUUCUUCUUCCUAUAGCUUCGCCUUGAGUCGCUCUUGCUCGUCCGCAACCUCUACCGCGUCGCCGUUGCCUAGGUUCGCCGGCGUAACGCUGUGCAGCACCGCCGCUCCGCCAUUUGCGACGGCGAGCACCCUAGGGUCCAGUAGAGCGCGAGUGAAGUAGGUCAACGGAUUCGCCUUGAGGAGAGGAACACGUAGAUGCCCUUGGAUCCAUCGGAGACCUCGCCGUCGUCGAGUUUCGCCGGCGACGAGCUUCUCCCCUGUCUCUGUCUCUCUGUCGCGGGGGUCCCGUGUGUCAGCGGAUCCCACCUGUCAGUCUCUCUCUCACACCUCUGAUUCACUGUUCUACAGAUCCUGUGUUGAUUUUGUAAAAUUCAUAUCUUGAGUUUUACAGAUCCAAAUGAUGUGGUUCCAAUUUUGCUAGGUUCUUAUGGUAAUCUAGUUUCUACUAAAAAUAUGCAACAUGCCAUGUUUUUGAAGAAAUAAAUAGAUAUGAUUUAAUCUUUAUUAAAAAGGAGGUAAUUGUAUCUUGAGAUCUGUGGAUAUGAUGGUCAUGCAAAUCUAGGGUGUUGUUACUCAUGGCAUAAAUAGGCUCUGAUAAAUUUAUCAUGAAUUUUGGGGGUCUGAUUGUGAAGUUAUAAAUAUUUCUUGUUUAAAUAGGAGUUUCUUGUGGUAUUUUUAGUAAAAAGAUUAUAACUCCUUCUUUGGUGAAACUUGCUGGGUGUUAUACUCAUGUAUAAUCAAAGCUAGGAAAAAUCUGAAAUCUGUUGUUUGACACUUUUUCAUAGGGUUUCACAUUUAUGCCUUGCAUGCCCUUGCUAGCUUGUUAUUUUUGUAGCUCACAAUCUACAUGUGCAAGUGCCCUGAAAAUUUUACAGUGACCUCAUGAUUGUGUAGAUAGCUUUCUGUAAUUUUCUUAGGACUUUUAAAGCACUUGUGUUAUAUGCUCAUUAAAUCACCCUAAUAAUUAAAUAAAUAGAAAAUGUGAUAAUAGGAAUGAGUUUAGACCUUGCCAUGAUGUUUUCUGGUGUUUCUUAGACAUUUUCUAUCUACUGGUGCAUUUGGUCUGAACCAAUGUUACAUUCUUAAUAUGUGUAAAAUAUUAUUUUUGCUAAUUGUCUUUCCUAGAGCUUUUCUGUGUAGCUGACAGUAAUUGUUUAGGAACUACUAGAAGAUGAUGUUUUCUGGAAAACUUUCCUAUAACAAACUUGUAGCUAACUUGCUUAUCUACUUCAUGUCCAAAUUUCAUGACAUUUGGUUGAGUAGUUUGAAUGUUAUGAAUGUUGCAAGAAGCUGCUACGAACUGCUUGCUCUCUGGAUUUUCCAGAACAGCCAGCACACUUUGUCUGUUUGAGCAUAUUUUGGUUGGGAAUCUUUCUGGGCUGUCUAAAAGUGAAUUGUAGGCAAUUUGCUAAGCUUUCCAGAAAGUAUCUAUUUGCUUAGUUUGGCCAGCUGAUGCUUAAGUUGUAACAGAAACUUGUGACUAGUUAAUCUGUACAUGACCCCAGUUGUUGUGUAUGGGUAGCUAAGGUUGAUUGCUUGUCUAGUUAGCCUCUCUACCAGAGAAGAAGUAUGCACUUACUUGUUAUUCUGUGAUUCAUCUAAGUUUGUAAGUUUAUGCUCAUGUUUAUACCUUGUUGUAUGUUCCUUGGCUCAGCAUCAUGACAUAUUGCAUCUUAUGUGCAUUCCCUAUGUUUAUCGCCUUGUCAUGCAUACAUAGGUGUACCCAAGGGAGUGACGGUCUUGGAGUACGAGCUGCCGGAGCCAGAAGAACAACAAGGGGAGCCACCUCAAGGAUCUUAGGAGGAGGACCUGCCAGAGUGUCCCGACCACCACCUGUCCACCUACGUUGAAGUCAAGCCCCGGAGCAUUAUAAGCCUCCUACUAUUUUUGUUAUCAUAUCCAGCUAUCAAUUGGUUAUGGUUAUGUAUUGUUGCAUUAAGUGUUAGGCGUUGAUAUGACACCCUUGCUGCAUAAUGACUACCUUGUCCACCUCAUACCUUACCUAAGUAGGUCCAGGAUCGAAAUGAUGCUUAUCCAUGCUUAGCUCGGUAGAAGCCGGGUGAUUUCCUGUCACCUGCGAGAGAUAGGUGGAUGCUGAUCACGGUUGGCUAUAUUUGCUAUCGUGGAAAUAACCAUGUGCUAAUAAUGAACAUGAGACCGGGCGAGAUGACGAUAGUGCAGCAACAAGGCAUGGAGGUGUUGGGUGUGAAUCUAUCCCCGUCUGUGUCGAUUAAGGACCGAUUCGCUGUACGUCCUCGUGUCAUGUUGAACGCAUGCCUAACACUUAGCUGGCCGGAUAAGUCGUUCUGACCGCGAAGCCUACGAGUGCAUCUCCGGCCGGAUAACCUGUUCGGUUUAAGUGCGCACCCCGGUUGGUAGCAAGGAUGUGCGGGGAGUCAACGGCGUAAGACCGAGGUGUCAGGUUAGAGUCCUGACCCCGGCAGAUUGGCGGUCCCUGGGGGUGCGGCGCUGUACGGAACCGAGAAUUGGUCUGGAGUUGUGCUAAAGGUGAUCCGAGCUGCCCUCAUGAAGUAUGCUUGGGUGAGUGCUAGGAAUACCCCUCCAGCUGGAUAGGAAUCGAUUCGAAUCGCCGUCUCUCCCGGAUAGUGAGAACUUGACUCGGGCAGUGGCAACGUAUAACUCACUAAAUAAACUUAAUGGUUAUGAUCAGAAUGUGGAUAGCUAAGUGAUAAUCCGGAUAUGGUUAUUAUUGUGAUGCUUAAAUACUCAAGUGUAUGCUUAGAACAGGUGCUAAUCUAGUGGAUAGUUGUUAUAGUAAUGAACCUGCUGCUGAAAUGUUAUAAAUGGACUACUUACAACUAAAGCUUUUCAUGCAAAAGGUAAGUCAAACCAGUCCACAAAGAUAAGCCUUGCAUACUCCUUGGCGUCACUUUAUUUUGGUUUAUGACGGGUAAGUCUAGCUGAGUACAUUCUCGUACUCAGGGUUUUAUUUACCCUUGUUGCAGAUGAUGUCGUUUGUCACGGCUACUGUGCUAACUGUCAUCAUCUAGCUGCGGACGAUGAAUAGAUCUUGGGCAUGAUCAACUCCUUUAUCUUCAGUUAUGCUUUUGUUGGAAUGACUAUGGAACUCGCAUGUAAUUAAACUGGGUGUGUGAUGUUUCAAAACUACUUUGCUUCCGCUACUAAACUGGUUUGUAAUAACUUUGUUCCAACUCUGAUGUGUUGUAAAACUAUGUUCUGUGAUGAAUGUAUGUAAUCUGUGAUGGCGAUGCUUGAUCAUGUACGAUCUUGGUUGUAUGUUGGUUGAAUCGAGGUCUUUUGAGGUUUCAUCGGACUACCGGGUUUAUAUGGGUUCAAGUCCAUUGGCUUUACUGCUUUGUGGUCGCUAAUUCACUUGAAUUCUUAUAAGUUGGAUGGUUCUAUUACAGCUGGCAUCAGAGCAAGAUUAAGCAUUUAACCAUCAUAGAUGUAUUUAAAAACAAAUGAAUUUGAUUUUUCCCAAACUAAUUGGCAAAUUAGACUAUACAUAGGGCUGUUUUAAAAAUGCUUCAAUAACUUAUACCAUGCCAGUGGUCAUAUCAUUUAUGCCCAUAUAAGGACUUCUAGGUGGCUUAAUAUUACUAACAUGGGGGUUUUUCCUUUCGUCGUCCAUAUGGCGUGCAAUAAUAUGGAUGCCACUUACUUAAGUGGUAAUGAAUGGAUCACUUACCUCUAGGCCAUGGUAAGCAAUGUUUGUUUUCUUUCGUCGUCCAUACGGCGUGAAAUUGUAUGGAUGCCACUCACUUGAGUGGUAAUGCAUGGAUCUAUAUGCCUCUACGUUACGGUAAGUGUGAGCUGUGAGAGCAUGACCGUCCAACCGUCGGUCUAGGGGAGUGUUAGCUGUGCUUACUGGAAUAUUUACAUGUUUCACACAUGUAUAUAUGAAGGUACUUAAUUGUGGGUAGUAGGUGCAGUCGUGUAUACAUGUUUCAUGUAUAUAUGGAUGUAUCCUAAAUGGGUAGUGUGCUGCGAUAUAUGUUCGGGAAUGUAUAUCGGAGUACCUGGCUUGAAUGUAGAUGGCUAGAUUUUCAUUUCGGCAUAUAUACUCUUGUGGGGUUGGGCAGAAAUAAAAUUUUCUGCAGGUACACUAACAACGAAACGUGUAGACCAUAUAGUUGCGUAUAAAGAGUGCACGUAUGUAUGCCACCGACUAUACCGAUAGGACAUUCUUCUAGGAAUGGAAAGGACGUAUGGAGCGUGCAUGCGUCAUGAAUUAUUUAUACAUAUCUUAUGCACUACUCAAUUCUUAUAAUUCUGAAACUAUAUCUAAAUUAUCUUCCCUUGUAAUUAAUCUCCCUUACUCAAGUUGAGGUCUUUCCUAUAGAUGGCAGCCCCACAUGUAAGUGAGACUUUUCUGGACUUGUUUGGCACUCCUACUUUGUUGUGGAGGGUGCUGAGUUCAGUGGGUUAUGAGGAACCACCUCGGUACACUUGGACAAAGGCCGAGCAUGCAGGAUCUUUACCUUGGGUAGAUAUCUAAGUUACAGUUCCCCCUUGCCCAAACAACCCACAGUGGCUAGGAUGGAUAGUAGAGUCCGAUGGUCAAACUCCCUAGGAGGGUGCCCAAGUAGCAGCUUUAGAAGUGCUAUUGGAGAUAUGCCAAGACUAUGGGGAUGAGCUAAUUAAUGGCCCAGCUAGAUGAAUUCCUAGAGUGAGUGUGACUGACACUUUUGUGUCUCAGAUAGGAACUGAGCCUUUAGAAAUGAAAGAAACCAUGCUAGGAUAUAGCUCUAGCCCUGCCAUGAGUGCUAUGCUGGCGGUACUUAAGCUGUACUAUGUACACCAGGACACCUACAUAGAAGCUAUGCUAGCGCUCCAGCAAGCUCAAGUUGGGCAGCGCAAAUUGCGCAAGCGUGUGCGCAAGCACCACAAGGCCUUUAGCGAUGCACAAGCUGAAAUCCAAAACUAUCACACCGCUUUGCAAGCUCGCCGCAACCAAGUUGAAAAUGCAGUUAGAGAGCGCAGUGAGGCACAAGCCCGCAUGAUGCAAAUGACUAGAGAGCGAGAUGAGGCUAUGCGCUUGGCUGAAAAUAGAGAGGCUGCUAGAUUUAGAGCCUUGUUCCAUGCUGAGCAUAGAGAGGAAGAACUGAUUACUAGGAUUGCUGAGCUACAGUUAGAUGUCCAUCACCUAAAUAAUAUCAUAAAUCCUAUUCCGCACCCUGUUCCCUUUAAUCAUGGAGAAGCUGCUAGUGAGGAAGAUCAGGAUGAUGGCAUCAUUUCUAAUGGAGAAUCCAAGGAGGAUAUGUAGCCUAGCAAUGAUUUUCAUGUUCAUGUAUCAGUAUCCAUCUCUUUAUGUAAUGGAUAUGUAAUUGUUGACACUAGCUAACACCACUUAGAUACUAGAUUGUCAUCCCCAGCAUGGUGCCAGAGUGUACAAAGGUAUUUAUAAAUGUAAAGGCUCUCUAGAAAAUAAUCUAUUCUAUCCGCAAGCGUACAGAUAAAACACCUCAUUGUAGCAUUUCACCAGGAUAAGUAUUCCAGGUAUCGUUAUUUAUAAUUUUGCUUAAGAGAACAAAAGAGAUGAAAUUAAAAUAAGGACAAAAUCUAUCAAGGCAUAGACUAGAGAUAAACUUGCAAGAACAUGAUUACUAAUGAGAAACUCGUCACACAGUCACUUACUUUAGCAGGGGUUAAACCAUAAAGAUAAUGAUAAUGAAUUAUAAGUUCAAAGGUAAAUUACACAGCAAUUAGAAAAUAGACUACUCCUCAUAUAUGUAGGUGAUGUCGGAUUAGCUAGAGAAUGGAUUCUAAGUUAUCUACUAUCUACUAAGUCAUAGUCUACUCUAGUUAUCUACAAGAUCAUGUAUAGCAUAAAAGACUCUUCAUUCAUGUAUAAGGAACAUUGCUAAAGUAAAUCAGAGCAUCGCCAGACUUACUCCACAAUACCGGUUCUGCCUGUCCUAUCAACGUAGGGUGGACUAUAUAAGAAUCAACGAAGCUGUCACUAUCGCGAACUGCCACACAACCCGGCCAAUAGGAUACAUUUGUAGAUAAAUAUCAUCUAAGCACCACGCUCACAUGUGAUCUAUCACCUAACUCCCUCGCGUCAAGAGCUAAGCGCUUUGCAAACUUAUACAUAAACUCAUUAUCAAUCAUAACUAUAUCAAAUAUAGAACUAGAGCAAACUAAGAGCAUAAUAAUUAGAGACAUAAUGCAAUUAGAACAAAGAAUUAGAGAAAGAUAUGAAUAAUACCAAUCUUUAUUACCGAAGAUCCAAAUCCAGAGCGUAGUGCUCUACUUCUCUAAUUGCUAUCUAAUCAAACCUCUAAACUCAAAGGAUUAGGGAGUAGCUAAUUCUAAUUCUCUGUGGGAGAGAAGCUCUAAACCCUAACUUUGAUGGCUACCUCUGAAUAAUGAUUUCUUCUCUUCUCCUCUCUCCUCCAGGGGUGGAGAGGCCUUAGUUUUAUAGUCCUUUCAAGUGAAUUUGGGCCGUUGGAUCAAACCGACAUUGAUUGUUUGGUUUAGAUUCAUCCUUUAGGUCGGUGGAGUUUAGUCCUGAAAGAGAGUCCCGAUCCAACUCCUAGCCAGGGCGGGCGCCCAAGGGGGGUGGGCGGGUGCCCUGCCCCAGAGCCCGAUCGUGUUCUCAUUCGUUCUCGUGGCUUCUGGACUCUUCUAGAUUGAGGAAUAUUGCACGGCACAUAAUUAUCUCGUUGUAAACAUGACAUGUGGGCCUUCUCUCCAUAUUCUCUGAUAACCCCCUGCAAAAAUAGAUAAACACCAAAGCUCAUGGAAUUCUGUCAGAUAAAACUCUAAUUCUAGAUGUUUGUUUCAUAUUGAUCCUUUUCUAUGUUUAUUUGAUUAUUAAUUUUAGUACUUAAGGACCGUCAACAGUAAUCUGAAUUUCAGCUGAGACUCUAUGUAUUUGGCUAUGGUGCCCCUCCUGUAAGACUUAAGUUGUGGAAGUGACUUUAUGUAACCCUAUGCACUUAUUUGUGAUGCUCCAUGUUUAUGUUGAGCUUGAAUAAUCUUCUGCAAUGAUUUUAAUCCUUGUGAAUUGUGACUGUGAAUGAUCGCGAGAAUAACCAAGUGUCGUGGAUGAUAUUCUCUUGUUGUACAAGGAUUAUUGUGCCUUGGAUUAUGUGAAUUUAUUUUGUUAAAUUCUGAAUGGCAGCAAUCGAGAUUCAUGGCAAUUAUAUCUGUUAUCCUAAACGGUCACUUGGUAGGCCUUGUGGAGAUGGCUCGCAGUACUCGCUCCGAUCACAAUGAGGUGCCGCCACCACUACCUCCUCCCCCGCCUACGCCUGCUGAGCUCCUGGCAACUCUUGUAGAGGGCCAGCGGAUGCUCAAUGAAGCCAUGCAGACUAUGGCACAGCAGAAUUGGGGUGGUCGCCAUAUCCGCCAAGGCGGAGAAGCGAAUCAGCACAGUAACUUCAAGGAUUUCCAAGACACGAAGCCACCAGUUUUCAAGAAGGCUGUUGAACCUCUAGAAGCUGAUGAAUGGCUCAACACCCUCGAGCAGAAGUUCCGCUUGCUGAGGGUGACUGAGAGUAAAGGCAGAAUAUGUAGCCCACCAGUUGGAGGGCAAAGCAGGUGUCUGGUGGAGUCAUUACAGGAGCAGCUUGCCUGCUAAUGCUGUUGUAACCUGGGAUCAGUUCAAAACUGCUUUCAGGAACACUUAUAUUCCCCUAGACCCAAUGACUAUCAAGCAUACCGAGUUCAUGAACCUGACUCAAGGCACUAAAAGCUUGACUGAGUAUCUUCAUGCUUUUAAUAACCUGUCUCGCUAUGCUCCGGAAAUUGUUGAUACUGAGGCCAAGAAGCUUGCAAGUUUCAAGAGAGGAUUGGGACCCAAGCUGUCCAAGAACAUGGCUGGUAAUAAGAGUACCUCCUUCAAUAAGUUUGUGAGUGAUGCGUUGACCUAGGAGAACUCCAAUGUUGUUUAUGCCGCGUCCAAGAACCGCAAAAGGGCCUAUGAGGCAGGUGCUUCACAAUCCAAGGCUCCGGUGACAAAAAAACCGGCCUAUCGCCCGCCCAAUGCUAUGACAAGGUACAGGCCACCACAGAAGAAGUCAAAUGUGAAGACAGGAGUUCGUAAGUCCUUCACAAUUGCUCUUCCUAGGGGUGCUACUGGUCAAGGAAGCCCCAAGACUCCCCCUGACAACCGCCCUUGCUUCAAUUGCAAACAAGUUGGUCACCGGGUGAGAGAUUGCCUUUAUCCCAAGUGGAAUUCUGUAGCUGGGGGUAAUAACCGCACCGGCCGAGUGCACUAUACCACCAUUGAAGAAAUCCCUGAAGGUGAAGUGGUCACAGCUGGUACGUUUCUUAUAAAUCAACACCCUGCAGUUGUCUUGUUUGAUUCUGGAGCUUCGCAUUCAUUUAUGAGUCAAGCAUUCGCAUCUAAGCAUGGGCAGCAUGUAGUUGAUCUUGACAGUGGCAAAUUUUGCAUUAGUGCUGUUGGGAAUCAAAUUUCCACAAACCAAUUAGUGAAGGAUGUGAAUAUUGCUAUUGAAGGUCGAAACUUUUCAGCAAAUAUUGUAAUUUUGUCGGGCUUGGGCAUAGAUGUUAUCUUGGGAAUGAAUUGGAUGAGUAAUAAUGGGGUGUUAAUAGACACCACCACGAGUGUAGUCAUGUUGCGGGAGCCUGAUAGCAAAGAAGCCUUCUUAGUGCAGCUUCCCAAGAAUGAUGACAUCCGUCACGCUGCUCAUGCUAUCAGACCACUCACUGUGGCAGAGAUUCCGGUAGUGUGUGAGUUUUCGGAUGUCUUUCUAGAGGAUCUGCCCGGGUUGCCACCAGAUAGAGACAUAGAGUUUAAAAUUGACCUAAUUCCGGGUACCGCACCUAUCUCUAGAAGGCCAUAUUGAAUGCCACCCAACGAGUUGGCAGAGUUGAAGAAGCAAUUGCACGAACUUCUAAAGAAAGGUCUUAUUCGGCCUAGUUCUUCUCCGUGGGGUUGUCCGGCUCUCUUUGUUAAGAAGAAGGACAAGUCUCCACGUAUGUGCGUAGACUAUCAUCCGCUAAAUGCCGUGACUGUUAAAAACAAGUAUCUUCUGCCUCGCAUUGAUAUCCUGUUUGAUCAAUUAGCUAAAGCUAAGGUAUUCUCGAAGAUUGAUCUGAGAUCCGGGUAUCAUCAAAUCAAGAUCCGACCCGAAGACAUUCCUAAAACGGCUUUCUCUACCAGGUAUGGGUUGUAUGAGUACCUAGUCAUGUCCUUUGGUCUGACUAAUGCCCCUUCUCAUUUCAUGUACCUGAUGAAUUCGGUGUUCAUGCCUGAACUGGAUAAGUUUGUGGUAGUGUUCAUCGAUGACAUAUUGGUGUAUUCUGAAAAUGCCCAAGAACAUGUGAAGCACCUUCGGAUCGUACUCACUAGAUUGCGAGAACAUCAGCUCUAUGCCAAGUUCAGCAAGUGUGAGUUUUUGCUGAAGAAAGUGCCUUUCCUAGGCCAUAUUUUAUCUGAAGACGGUAUUUCUGUUGACCCGUCAAAGGUGCAGGAGGUUCUAGACUGGAAGGCCCCGACUUCGGUACAUGAGGUUCGGAGUUUUCUCGGUCUAGCUGGAUAUUAUCGUCGUUAUAUUCUAGACUUCUCCAAAAUAGCUAAGCCUAUGACCAAGCUGCUGCAAAAAGAUGUGAAGUUUGUGUGGUCUCGGGAGUGUGAAGCCGCUUUCACCGCUUUACGUCACUUGCUAACCAUUGCUCCUGUUUUGGCACAGCCUGACAUUGAAAAGCCAUUUGAUGUCUUUUGUGAUGCCUCUGGCAUUGGCCUAGGUUGUGUACUCAUGCAAGAAGGCCGCGUUGUUGCCUACGCCUCUCGGCAGUUGAGGAAACAUGAAGCUAACUACCCAACUCAUGAUCUAGAGUUAGCAGCAGUUGUACACGCAUUGAAACUCUGGAGGCAUUAUCUAUUGGGUAAUCUGUGUCAUAUUUAUACCGACCAUAAGAGCCUCAAAUAUAUAUUCACUCAACCCGAGCUAAACAUGAGACAAACAAGAUGGCUGGAACUGAUAAAGGACUAUAAUCUGGAAGUACACUAUCAUCCAGGCAAGGCCAAUGUUGUAGCCGAUGCUCUCAGCCGAAAGCAACAUGUUGAACCUCUCCUGGAGGAAAGUUUAAAUUUAUUGCAUCCUGUGGUCUUGCACAACUUGUAGUCAGUUGUUCUUUAGAGAGUCAAAUCAUAGAGCUCCAAAAGACGGAUCCUGGUAUUUUCCAUAUCAAGAGAAAGAUGCAAGAGCAAGACACCAAGCAUUUCAGGGUAGACGAGAAAGGUGUACUGUGGUUUGACGAUCGACUAGUGGUACCUAAAGACCGUGACCUACGCAACAAGAUCUUAGAUGAAGCUCAUUCUUUCAAGUUGUCCAUUCAUCCUGGUAGUCGCAAAAUGUACCAAGACUUGAAACCUUGUUUCUGGUGGACCAAGAUGAAGAAGGAGAUAGCAGCUUAUGUUGCUAGGUGUGAGACUUGCUGCAGGGUAAAAGCAGUUCACCUCAAACCUGCAGGUUUAUUGCAAUCCUUAUCGGUUCCGGGUUGGAAGUGGGAAGAAAUCAGCAUGGAUUUCAUUGUUGGUCUUCCCCUCACCCAAAAAGGACACAAUUCCAUAUGGGUAAUUGUUGACCGUUUGACCAAGUCAGCCCAUUUUAUUCCAGUACAUUCUACAUACCGAAUAUCCGACUAUGCUGAGUUAUACUUCUCUCAGAUUGUUAGAUUGCACGGAGUGCCCCGCACUAUUAUUUCUGAUAGAGGUCCACAGUUAACUGCAUGCUUUUGGGAGCAUUUGCAUUCACUCCUUGGUACAACGUUGGUUCGCAGUUUAGCUUACCACCCUCAAACCUCCGGUCAGACUGAGCGUGUGAAUCAAAUUUUAGAGGAUAUGUUGAGGGCAUGUGUGAUAUCUUCCAAGGGUGCAUGGGAGAAAUGGCUACCCUUAGCUGAGUUCUCUUACAGCAAUAGUUAACAAGAGAGUAUCCAGAUGGCUCCUUUUGAAGCUUUAUAUGGCCGCAAGUGUAGAACUCCUCUAAACUGGGUCGAACCUGGUGAAAGGAGGUACUAUGGGAUCGACUUUGUGAAGGAAGCCGAAAAGCAAGUCCUCGUUAUCCAGAAACACAUGGAAGCCGCCCAAGCCAGACAGAAAAGCUAUGCCGAUAGAAGAAGGAAACCACUCGAGUUCGAAGUAGGUGACUUUGUGUACCUGAAGGUAUCCCCCAUGAAAGGAAUAAACCGCUUUGGUGUGAAAAGAAAGCUAGCCUCUAGGUAUGUGGGUCCCUACCAAAUCAUUGAGAAGAGCAGCAAGGUAGCUUACAAGGUACAACUACCUCCGGAACUGGGAGCCAUUUUCCCUGUUUUUCAUGUGUCUCAACUCAAGAAGUGUCUUCGUGUGCCCGAAGAGCGAGUUGAAACAAGAGAUCUUAAGUUGCAGUCUGAUCUAUCCUAUGAAGAAAAGCCUGUGCAAGUUCUUGAUGUCAAGGAAAGAGUUACUCGAGGGAGAGUGAUUAAAAUUUUUAGGAUCUUGUGGAACCGUCAAAGUGAGAGAGAUGCCACAUGGGAAAGGGAAGACUAUUUACAAGUAACUUAUCCCUCAUUCUAUGAAAAAUGGUACGUCUUUCAAAUCUUGGGACGAGAUUUCUGUAAGGGGGGAGGGCUGUAACACUCCUAGUGCUAGCUUGCAUGUUAACCAUGAGCAUUGCAUCAACAUAAGCAUCAUCAUGAUCACUCAUAAGCAUCAUACCAUGAUCACAUGCCAUUUGCUACAUAUACUAUGUGAUUGGAUUGCUAUAUGACUUGCUAUGGUUGAUUGUAAUGGGUGACCAAUGCAUACAAGUGUACAAUCUUUUCCAAAAUACUUUAAUCAUGUUUAGAAUAACAUUUUGAACAAAGUUUAUGCUGGAGGUUUUGGCCAAAAAUGCCCCUAAGCUAUGGUUAACCUUAAGUUGACCUAAUUGACCCCCUAGACCUCUUUUCAAAGAUGUUUUAUGAAACUUGUGUUAAAGACCUUGCAUGUAAAUGACACCUGAAACAAAGAUGUAGUAAAUGUUAUAAGCUACAAAAGUUAUGUUGAUGACUUUUCAUGAAAAAGCACGCAACCCAUUCAAAUUUAGCCCACAAGCCAGAAAUCAGUGCUGUUUUCACACAGCCGAAUUUGGCUAAGUCUGGGAUUCGGCAGAUUCGACAUAGGCUCAUUGGGAGCCUUGUGGUUUGAAAUCCAGGCCGAGUUAGACUUUGAUCUUGUAAGGAAACCUGUAGAUCUCGUGUAGCUCUAACUCAAGGAACAAAUUUGAGCCAAAACCAUCAAGUGAGACGUGAGUAAAAUGUUGGCAAAGAUCGAGCUUCAGUCAGUGGCCAUGGCGACUAAAUCGCUCGAUUCAGUUCGGACAGAACUCGCCCGCCACUGCGUGUCCGGCCACCUGUCGGCCGUACGCCGUCGAUGACCCCUCCUGUCAGCCCCGACGUCAUCCACAAGACGCCACGCACCGAGUGGACACCUCAGACGCGCCAUUCGCCCCUCCAGAGCGCCACAUUGUGUCCGCCUUCGUCCUCGGCGAGCUCUGCCACGCUUCGGCGAGCUCUCCCGGCCGCUCCACCGUGUCUCCGGCCAAGCUAGUCCACCCAGAGCUCCGCCUCGACGUCCUCUACCUCGACGUCCACUCCUUUCCCUUAGCCGAGCACUGGUGAGGCCGCAUUGCCACCCCCGUCGCGAGCUCAACCACGCCGGAGUUCGUAGAGAUCACUGGCGACGUGGCCAGACCUCUCUGGUUCACCUCUGGUCGUGGUUCUUCUUCCUAUAGCUUCGCCUUGAGUCGCUCUUGCUCGUCCACAACCUCUACCGCGUCGCCGUUGCCUAGGUUCGCCGGCGUAACGCCGUGCAGCACCGCCGCUCCACCAUUUGCGACGGCGAGCAACCUAGGGUCCAGUAGAGCGCGAGUGAAGUAGGUCAAUGGAUUCGCCUUGAGGAGAGGAACACGUAGAUGCCCUUGGAUCCAUCGGAGACCUCGCCGUCGUCGAGUUUCGCAAGCGACGAGCUUCUCCCUGUCUCUGUCUCUCUGUCGCGUGGGUCCCGUGUGUUAGGGGAUCCCACCUGUCAGUCUCUCUCUCUCACACCUCUGAUUCACUGUUUUACAGAUCCUGUGUUGAUUUUGUAAAAUUCAUAUCUUGAGUUUUACAGAUCCAAAUGAUGUGGUUCCAAUUUUGCUAGGUUCUUAUGGUAAUCUAGUUUCUACUAAAAAUAUGAAACAUGCCAUGUUUUUGAAGAAAUAAAUAGAUAUGAUUUAAUCUUGAUUAAAAAGGAGGUAAUUGUAUCUUGAGAUCUGUGGAUAUGAUGGCCAUGCAAAUUUAGGGUGUUGUUACUCAUGGCAUAAAUAUGCUCUGAUAAAUUUAUCAUGAAUUUUGGGGGUCUGAUUGUGAAGUUAUAAAUAUUUCUUGUUUAAAUAGGAGUUUCUUGUGGUAUUUUUAGUAAAAACAUUAUAACUCCUUCUUUGGUGAAACUUGCUGGGUUAUACUCAUGUGUAAUCAAAGCUAGGAAAAAUCUGAAAUCUGUUGUUUGACACUUUUUGAUAGGGUUUCACAUUUAUGCCUUGCAUGCCCUUGUUAGCUUGUUAUUUUUAUACCUCACAAUCUGCAUGUGCAAGUGCCCUGAAAAUUUACAGUGACCUUAUGAUUAUGUAGAUAGCUUGCUGUAAUUUUCUUAGUACUUUUAGAGCACUUGUGGUAUAUGCUCAUUAAAUCACCCUAAUAAAUAAAUAAAUAGAAAAUGUGAUAAUAGGAAUGAGUUUAGACCUUGCCAUGAUGUUUUCUGGUGUUUCUUAGACAUGUUCUAUCUACUGGUGCAUUUGGUCUGAACGAAUGUUACAUUCUUAAUAUGUGUAAAAUUUUAUUUUUGCUAAUUAUGUCUUUCCUAGAGCUUUUCUGUGUAGCUGACAGUAAUUGUUUAGGAACUACUUGAAGACGAUGUUUUAUGGAAAACUUGCCUAUAACAAACUUGUAGCUAACUUGCGUAUCUACUUCGUGUCCAAAUUUCAUGACAGUUGGUUGAGUAGUUUGAAAGUUAUGAAUGUUGCAAGAAGCUGCUACGAAGUGCUUGCUCUCUGGAUUUUCCAGAACAGCCAGCAUACUUUGUCUGUUUUAGCAUACUUCGGUUGGGAAUCUUUCUGGGGUGUCUAAAAGUGAAUUGUAGGCUAUUUGCUAAGCUUUCCAGAAAGUAUCUAUUUGCUUAGUUUGGCCAAAGGAUGCUUAAGUUGUAACUGAAACUUGUGACUAGUUAAUCUGUACAUGACCCCAGUUGUUGUGUAUGGGUAGCUAAGGUUGAUUGCUUGUCUAGUUAGCCUCUCUACCAGAGAAGAAGUAUGCACUUACUUGUUAUUCUGUGAUUCAUCUAAGUUUGGAAGUUUAUGCUCAUGUUUAUACCUUGUUGUAUGUUCCUUGGCUCAGCAUCAUGACAUAUUGCAUCUUAUGUGCAUUCCCUAUGUUUAUCGCCUUGUCAUGCAUACAUAGGUGUACCCAAGGGAGUGACGGUCUUGGAGUACGAGCUGCCAGAGCCGGAAGAACAACAAGGGGAGCCACCUCAAGGAGCUGAGGAGGAGGACCUGCCAGAGUGUCCUGACCACCACCCGUCCACCUACGUUGAAGGCAAGCCCCGAAGCAUUAUAAGCCUCCCACUAUUUUUGUUAUCAUGUUCAGCCAUCAAUUGACUAUGGUUAUGUAUUGUUGCAUUAAGUGUUAGGCAUUGAUAUGACACCCUUGCUGCAUAAUGACUACCUUGUCCACCUCAUACCUUACCUAAGUAGGUCUAGGAUCGAAAUGAUGCUUAUCCAUGCUUAGCUCGGUAGAAGCCGGGUGAUUUCCGGUCACCUGCGAGAGAUAGGUGGAUGCUGAUCAUGGUUGGCUAUAUUUGCUAUCGUGGAAAUAACCAUGUGCUAAUAAUGAACUUGAGACCGGGUGGGAUGACGAUAGUGCAGCAACAAGGCAUGGAGGUCUUGGGUGUGAAUCUAUCCGUGUUUGUGUCGACUAAGGACCGAUUCACUGUACGUCCUAGUGUCAUGUUGAACGCAUGCCUAACACUUAGCUGGCCGGAUAAGUCAUUCCGACCGCGAAGCCUACGAGUGCAUCUCCGGCCGGAUACCCCGUUCGGUUUAAGUGCGCACCCCGGUUGGUAGCAAGGAUGUGCGGGGAGUCAAUGGCGUAAGACCGAGGUGUCAGGUUAGAGUCCUGACCCUGGUAGAUUGGCGGUCCCUGGGGGUGCGGCGCUGUACGGACCCGAGAAUUGGUCUGGAGUUGUGCUAAAGGUGAUCCGAGCUGCCCUCAUGAAGUAUGCUUGGAUGAGUGCUAGGAAUACCUGUAACACCCUAGGUGUUAAGCAUGCAUUUAGCCCUAUCACAACAUGCAUAAGCAUUCUCAUCAAGCAUAGCAUCAUGGGCAUGUCAUUCAUCCCAAAACCUGAUUUUAUGUGCUUUAUUUCAUGUGUUUUAAUUAUGCUAAAAAUAUGAUGCUUGCUUCUAAAAAUGUGAAAUAUUCAAACUAGGUUGAUUUAUGUGUAGGAAGAAUUUAGAGUAUUUUUUGUGUAAAUUUUGGAGCUAGCGAAUUUGAGAAAUGGAAUUUAUACAAGAUUUCCAAAUUGAAUUUAUUUAAAAACCUAGAACUAAGUUUUAAUUUGUGAUUCAAAUUCUAUUUGGAAUUUGGUCUUGCUUAUUAAAGCAAAGUUGUAGAGUUUUUGUUUUGGAACAACUUUGUUUUUGGGAGCAAGAGGUGAAAAUGAUUUUAAAUUGGUCCAAAUGAAUUUAGAAAGAAUUUGGAGAAAAGAAAUCCAAAAAAACAAAAAGGGCAGGCGCUGCUGGGCCAACCCCGCUUCCCUUUCGGCCCAGUGAGCGGCCCGGCCUGCUCCCCCUCUCCCCCUCUCUCCCGCACGCGGACGCGCCUCGCUCCACCCGGCGCCGACCACGUGGCGGCCGUACGCCAGCAUUGGACGCGCCCGGCCGGCCUCCAACCCCCCUGGUCGGGACGCCGGCUCGGGCUCCCAGGCCAUUUCCUCCGUUCUGUCCCCCGUGCCCUCCUUCUCCUUCCUCCCUCCACUCGCACCGCGCAGCAGCAGCAGCUCCUCCGCGCGCCAUUAACGGAGAAAGCCCCGCCACUCGCCGCCGAACACACUAGAGCCUCAAGCUCACCGCCGAGAGCACCAGCGCCUUCGUCAUCGUUAGGGUAAGCUUGUGCGCGCGUUCUAUCGAGGUGAGAGUCCGUCGAGCGCCAUGAAUAGCUCGCCGGAGUUACCCCGAGCUUGCCAGAGUACUCCGCCGCGACGGUCUUGUGUUUCUCUGCCUCUUUUCGCUGGUUCUUGGGUGCGCUAGGUCGGUAGGGUGGUGAGGAAGCUCGGAGAGGCGUUUGCGCACGCUCUACCGCGCCGGAGCGGCCUGGCCACGGCGAGCAGCGCCGCCGUGCCGCCAUGCAUGCUCGUCAGAGGUGUUCCGGUCAUCCUCCGGCCAAUCCAAGGGUACCGUUGGGUGCGCCUCGCUGCAGGGAGCACGUUGGUGCUUACCCCGUGGCCGGAGACCUCACCGCCGGCGAGAUCUGCUCGUCGGAGGUGAGCUCCCUCUCGGUCUCGCUGACCGGUGGGGUCGGGGACCCACUGUCAGUCGCAGGGGGGGACCCCGGUGGGUGUAGAUCUGGGUGCGCGUAGCCUUUUUCAUCGGUUUUCUUGAAUAAAUGAUUUCCAGAAAUUGAUUCAAAACUUGUAAAAUUCAUAUCUUGAGUUCUACAGCUCCAAAUUGGACGAAAUAAAUUUUGGUAUGCUCUAUAUUUCCAGAUCUACAGUUUGAUGUAAUUGCAUGUCAUGUUUGAGUAACUUUUCUGAAUGAAUAUAUUUAAUCUAUGUUUUUGCUAUACUUGGAAAAUGCAUAGUAAAUAAAAUAUGGUUCAGAAAAAUGUGAAACUUGAUUUGUUGGCUCUGCAUGUAUGUUUACUCACUGGGAAAAUAUUGGUACAUAUUAGUUGGUGUAUAAAUGAAUUUAUGGUAAUUUAAAUGCUUGCAUGGCAGUGAUUUAUGAUUUUUAAUAAUUAAUUGGAUCAUGCAAUAAAUCUGGAAAAUUUUGUGGGUGUUUCUUAUGAUAUUAGACAAAUUGUAAAAAUAUGAAAUCUGUUGUUUGACACUUAUAUCACAGUAGAGUGAUUAUACUUACCCUAUGAAUUAAUCUUGUGAUUUUUGUGGCUCAAAAUAAGUAUCCAAAAAUUAUGAAAAAUUUACAGUAGACUUUAUGCUUAACUGGUAGUCUCCUGUAAUUUUUGUGGAAUUUAUUCAUGAACAGAAUUGCAUGUGAUUUUUAAUGUGCCUAGAAAUGAAUAAAGAAAAUUAUGAAUUGUUGUGUAUAUAGGUUGAAUAGAAUAAGUUGGGUUUGGUGUAUCUUUGAUGCAUCAUGUGGGUUGCUGGUUGCAUUUGAAAAAUAAAUUGUAGAAGAGAAUGCAAUAGAUGUUUGAUUCAAUUGUUGUUCUUGGAUGAUGUUGACUACCUUGUAAUGAGCAUGACCGAGUACAUUACAUAUGCAUCAUGUCAUGACUCCUUUGGUACUUUAUCAUACAAGCAUCCACUCGGGCAUCUCGCACUCCACUCAUAAGCACACAUGCAUCAUACAGGCUCGCAGGAGAACGAAGUGGGACCCGAGGAACCCGAGGAGAUUCAGGAGCAGGAACCUCCGGAAGCACCGGAACCCGGAGAAGAGCUACAGGAGUGUCCGGAUCACCGACCCAGCACGUUUGAGAAAGGCAAGCCCCGGAGCAUUCUAAGUCUCCCUAUUCUCACUAACUUAUAUGAUGCGCUAUAAUUGUUCUACUAUAUUGCAUCUAAGUGAUAGGAUUUGAUUGAUACCGUUGAUGCAUAUGUACUCCUUGUUAUCCCUACUCGUUCACCUACCUUGUCCUAUGUAGAUAGGCACGGAGUCUAUGCUUAGCUUGCUUAGUCCGGUAGAAGUCGGGUGAUUUCCUGUCACCUGCAAGAAAUAGGUGGAUACCUGCUUGAUUAAGCAUUGGUUGCUUGGGGAAAAGAAUAACCGAGUGUGGAAUGUAACUGGAGACCGGGCAGGGUCUUAUGGUGGGUUGACCAUAGUGCCCCUGCCUGCGUCGAUUAAGGACCGAUCGUUGACGGCCCUCUUGUCAUGUUGAACGCAUGCCCCACACUUAGCUGGAAGGAUAAGUCGUUCCGACCGCGAAGCCUGAACACUAUCCGGGCCGGGAAUCGAGCCGCCAUGUGCUGUAUUGGUGAUGGUUGAGGAGAACGACGAGGGCGCGGCGUGCAACCUUGGUAUACCUUGGAUACCUCGGUCACCGGAACGGUCCUCGGGUACUGGCGGUGCCUGCCUAACCCGCGAAUUGGUCUUGGAUAGUGUAAUACGGUGAUCUGUAGCUCACUUGAUCAGUGAGUGUGGUUUGUGUGGGGAAUACCUCGCCAGCUGGUUAGAAAUCGAUUCGAAUCGCCAUCGCUCCUGGAUAGUGAGCACUUGACAUGAGCUUCGUCCUCGUAGUAAGGACUAUGGAACACUUGGGUUAUGUUGAUGAAUGGUUUUAAGAAAUGCUAUGAUAAGUUACUAUCAUAUCCUUAUACUUGCUUGUAAUAGUGCUGGUGCAAACCUAGAUGAUAGGUAAUGAUACUUUCAACUUGAGCAAAUUAAAAGAAGAAAGACUUAUGUAGGUUAUGAUAGUAAAAUCCUGCGGUUUUGCAAAAUGGUUGUCAGCUACCCCACUAUAUAGCCUUCAUGAUCCUUGAUGAGUCUUUAUUUUAAGUUUAUGACGGGUAAGUCUAGCUGAGUACCUUCUCGUACUCAGGGUUCUACUCCCAUGUUGUUUUGCAGAUGGUCAAAUGUACUAUGGUUAUUGCAUCCUCUGUCUGUACCCAGCCAUGGGUGAUUACUAGACCAAGGGCAAUGGUCACUCCGUCUUAUCUGUUGCUUUUGUGGGAUUGACCGAACUAUGGCACUGUAUCAGACUAAAUGUGUGUGUUGUAUUUUCGAAUUAUGAAGCUUCCGCUACUUGAAGAACUUGGUUUGUAAUAAUUUUAAGAACUCCGAUGUAUUUUAUGAAUGUUGUACUCUGAAUGUAUUUGUGAAUGGCGACCGCUAAACUUAUUACGAUCUUGGCUGUUGUGCGAUAUGUGGUUUGAAAUCCUUCGAGAUUUCACGGACUACCGGGAUUAUAUGGGCUUAAGCGUGAUGGUUUGACUAUGCAAAUGGUCACUGUUAGGCUUAAUCUCUUAUAAUUUGGUCGGUUCUGUUACAGCUGGCAUCGGAGCAAGGUUUAGCAAGUUACUGUUCAUAAGUACGUUCUAAACAAAAUCUAAACCGGUCUAAUAAAGGAUUUUAUUAAUUAAUAAUGAUCAAGGUGUUCAACUAAGUUUUGGAAAACUAUCUAGUGUGCCAUGGUCAUAUCCUUUAUGCCCAGUUAAGGACUCUAAGGUGGCUAGUUAAGUACUGACUUCGGGGUUAAUGCAUCAUAUUUUUAUUUCGUCGCUCAUACGGCGUGCAAUAGUAUGAGUACCAUUCAUUUGAGUGGUAAUGUAUGGAUCUAUUUUUCCUCUACGUCAUGGUAAGUGGGAGCUGUGAGAGCAUGAUCGGAUACACUGCCGGUCUAGGGGAGUGUUGUUAGGUACUGUGUCAUGCACACAUGUUUUGGUGUGUCUUGGAAACAGUACCGCAUGUUGGGAAUUCCGUCCUGAGAUGCGAUGCCGUCAUUAGGGCGAUGAUAUGGGUAGCAACACAUCACAUGCAUGGACGGGUGUCAGUGUAUGUGAAGUGCAUAGUUUUAAAUUUUGUUUUGCAUUAGCAUACUGUGGGUGGGCUGAAAUGAGUUUUCUGCAGGUACCCUAACCACGUUCUCGCUUAGAACGCUAGUUACGUUAUGAGAGAACGUUGUGUGCCACCGCAUAUACCGCUUAGUGUUAACCUUUGUUUCUAAGUUUGUGAGAUCGUAAGUUCGUGCAUGCAUCAUGUUCAUGUCAUAUCAUUGCUUACUUUCCCCCUUAAUUUAAUCUGUCCCAAUUCUAAAUAAAAUAAUUAAAGGUAAUCCUCGCUCUUACCCACGGUAUUCCAUUUGCAGCAGAUGGCACGCACUAGGCCCACCGCUCGCAAGUCCACUGGUGGGCGGGCCCCUCGCCAUCCGUUGGCAGCUAGGAGCUUGCGACAUAAGAGCAAGUUCCUGGAGGAGUUUGGGAUGCCCACUUUGCUUUGGAGGGUGCUCAGUUCGAUGGGGUAUCCCGAAGGAAGGGAGCCUCGCUACUAUUGGGAUAAGGAGCCGCUUGGUGACGAGACCCUGGUGGGGAUCGAGGCAGUUGUCCCUACCAGUGGAGGAGACCCUGCUUGGGGCGGCUGGGUGUACGAGUCCCGAGGUGUCACACCUUUCCACGGUGCCAGCAGGGCAGCUUUCGCAGUUCUGAGGGACCUCAUGGAGAGGUUUCCGCAGGAGCUGGCCCACGCCUUCACUGGGGUGUUUCCCCGGGGUGACCCCUACACUUUGGCGUGGGAUCAGUCUGAGGUGAAUGCUCUAGAGAGGAGUGCGGAUGAGGACCAGCACAGUGACGAUGCAGCUAUGAGUGCCAUGUACGCGUUGAUGAAGACCUAUGGAGGCCUGGAGUGUUGUUUGGGCCGCUUGUCCGGGUCUCUUCUCACCGUCCAGGAUGAGAAGCGUCAGUUGCAACGUGAAUUCGACUCUGAGGUUGAGAGGCUGCAGGCAGAGUUGGCCCGUGUGACUAGAGAGAGAGACCAGGCAGUCCAGAAGAACAGUGAGCUGAGUCAGGACCUGCUUGCAGUGCGGGAGCAGAAGGACAGGGUGACUACUGCUCACAGGAACUGCGAGCGCAUGCUAGUCCAUGUGCUUGGAUAGAGGAAUGAAGCCUGGCAUGAGGAGGACACUUUGAGGGCCCGACAGCUAGAGCUAGAGCAGCAGCUAGCCAAUGCCGAGGAGUACAAUGAGAACUUGCAUGAGGAGAUCCACCAGCUGCAUAACCAGCUCCACCCUCACCACCUGCCUGGAGCAGCUGAGCUAGACUCUGAGGACGAGAUGGACGCGGAUCCCGAGAUAGGAGCAGCUGCUAGUGGAGAUGAAGAUGAGGAUGGCUCCGACAUGGACAGUGACCAUAGCGAGUAGAUGCUAGGGCUCUAGAGCUAGUCCUUCUUCUUGUGUUGUUGUAUGUUGCAUGGCAUGUCGUGUACUUUUGGAUCUGGGCUAUGUAAGACUUUAUGAGUUAAUGCUGGCAAGUUGGAUGUACGCGAACCUUGUUGCGUAAACGUUAAGCAAUCUGUUAGUGAUGUUGUGCGUAGAUGAUGAAUUGUUGUGCCUCUGUUUAUUGUGGGAAUUUAUUCCCUCAGUAAAUUCAGUACGUCACGAUUCUACACAUUUCUACCGUUGAUAACAACUCCUAACAAAUGCUUAUCAUUGACGUAUGCAGACGGUGCAAACACGUGGCGGGGGUAACAGCAAUCCGGGCCUUGGAGCAGGUACAUCCGGAGGUGGGGCUCAACGGAAUGAGGACAGAGCACCAACACCGCCACCACCACCGCCUCCUCCGUACACUGCGGACAUGUUUUUCGCGCAGUUUCUGGGGAGCCAACACAACAUGGAACAGUUGCAGCGCAACAUGGAAGAGGCUCUGCGCAACAUAGCUGACAACACCCGUCGUGGGGAUAAUCAGGGUGGCCGAGAGGUCAACCAGUAUAGUUCGUUCAAGGACUUCACGGAUACCAAGCCACCAAUCUUCAAAGAGGCUUUGGAACCACUUGAGGCAGAUGAGUGGAUCAACACUAUGGAGCAGAAGUUUCGUCUUCUCUGAAUGACAGAAGAACUCAAGGCUGAGUAUGCGGCACAUCAGUUGCAAGGACCCGCUGGGAUUUGGUGGUCCCAUCACCGUACCACCUACCCAGAGGGGACCCCAAUUACCUGGAACUGUUUCACCACAGCUUUCCGGGGAAAUUACAUUCCUCCGGGUGUGGUUGAAAUGAAGGUUGGGGAGUUCAUGAGGCUGUCCCAGGGGACGAAAUCGGUGAAGGAGUAUCUACAUGCUUUCAAUAAUCUCGCUCGCUAUGCCCCUGAGUUUGUAAACAUGGAGGCUAAGAAGAUUGCUAGUUUCCAAAGGGGCUUGAAUCCAAAGAUGCUGAAGACCAUGCGUACAGGGGCCAGGGCUACCUUCAAUGCUUACAUCAGUGACUGUCUCACCCAGGAGAACAACAACAACUACUACAGUGCAUCCAAGUCACGUAAGAGGGCUUUUGAAGCCGGAUCAUCUCAGUCCAGGGCACCAGUGGCAGGGCGACAGCAGUAUCGUCCUCCUGCCCCAGGUGCUAGGUUCCGACCACCGCAGAGAAGGAACACCGGGCAUCCAACACAGCAGAAGCCGUAUAAGGUGGCGAUAACCCCUGCCAAGCCAAAGGCAGUUCAAGCUGCAGCACCUGCCGUCAACAAUGCGCCCAACGGUCCAUGCUAUAACUGCCACAAGAUGGGGCACUUUGCUAAGGAAUGUCCCUACCCCAAGAGGCAGCAGCCAACCUAUCCAGCUCGUGUGCACCAUACCUCGAUCGAGGAGAUCCCGGAAGGAGAACCGGUAACAGCUAGUAUGUUUCCUGUCAACCAACAUCUCGCAGUUGUUUUGUUUGAUUCUGGAUCAUCGCAUUCAUUCAUGAGCCAAGCAUUUGCACAAAAGCAUAGUCAACCAGUUAUAGAUCUGGGUUAUGGCUACCGCAUCAGCUCAGCAGGGGCAGAUGUGUUGACCAAUAGAGUGGUUCGAGGGGCAACCCUGGAUAUAAGUGGCCGAGUUUUUCGGGUAAAUCUAGUGGUCAUGCCUGGGUUAGUUUUGGAUGUUAUCGUGGGCAUGAACUGGAUGAGAGAAUGGGAUGCUGUCAUAGAUACUGGGAAGAGAAUGUUAUCUCUCAGAGAACCGCAGAGCAAUCGCUCUUUUCAAGUACCUCUGCCCCGUCGUCUUGACUUUGCUAGCAUCUCUUGUGCUACGCACGUGGUUCCAUUACCACAGAUCCCAGUAGUCUGUGAGUUCCCUGAUGUUUUCCAUGAGGAAUUACCAGGACUUCCCCCGGAUAGGGAAGUAGAGUUUGCAAUCGAGUUGAUACCAGGUACAGCACCAAUAUCUAGAAGGCCGUACUGGAUGCCACCAAACGAACUCGCCGAGUUGAAAAAUCAACUAAAGGAGUUGCUGGAUAAAGGAUUCAUUCGGCCAAGUUCGUCGGAAUGGGGUUGUCCGGCGUUGUUUGUGAAAAAGAAGGAUCAAUCGUUGCGCAUGUGCGUGGACUAUCGUCCACUCAAUGCAGUGACAAUCAAGAAUAAGUAUCCUUUACCAAGGAUUGAUAUCCUGUUUGAUCAGUUGUCCAAGGCAAAAGUGUUUUCCAAGAUAGACCUGAGGUCAGGGUAUCACCAAAUCAAGAUUCGUCCGCAAGAUAUCCCGAAGACUGCUUUUUCCAUCAGAUAUGGGUUGUAUGAGUACCUUGUCAUGUCCUUUGGAUUGACAAAUGCUCCUGCAUACUUUAUGUAUCUGAUGAAUUCAGUCUUUAUGCCAGAAUUGGAUAAGUUUGUUGUGGUGUUUAUCGAUGAUAUUCUGGUUUAUUCAGAAAAUGAGCAAGAUCACACCGAGCAUCUGAGAAUCGUGCUGACACGAUUACGAGAGCAUCAGUUAUAUGCCAAGUUCAGCAAGUGUGAGUUCUGGUUGAAGAAAGUUCCUUUCCUAGGGCACAUUCUGUCUGAAGAAGGGAUUGUUGUGGAUCCGUCAAAAGUGCUGGAAGUCAUGGACUGGAAGGUACCAACUUCUGUCUCGGAAGUUAGAAGUUUUCUUGGUCUGGCCGGGUAUUAUCGCCGAUUCAUACCUGACUUCUCCAAGAUUGCUAAGCCAAUGACAAGUUUGCUGCAAAAGGAUCAUAAGUUUGUCUGGACGGAAGGGUGUGAGUUAGCCUUCCGCACCUUGCGAAAGUUGCUAACCACUGCUCCCGUUCUGGCACAACCUAAUAUCGAAAAGCCUUUUGAUGUGUUUUGCGACGCAUCGAAGAGUGGCCUGGGGUGUGUGUUGAUGCAAGAUGGCAGAGUGAUAGCUUAUGCUUCUCGACAGUUGAGGAAGCAUGAAGUCAACUACCCAACGCACGACCUCGAGUUAGCCGCAGUAGUGCACGCUUUGAAGAUUUGGAGACACUAUCUGCUGGGGAAUAAGUGUCACGUUUUCACCGACCAUAAGAGCUUGAAGUACAUCUUCACUCAGUCCGAGCUAAAUGUGAGGCAACGACGGUGGUUAGAGCUAAUCAAGGACUAUGAUCUGGAAGUUCACUAUCAUCCGGGCAAGGCUAAUGUAGUAGCAGAUGCGUUGAGUCGUAAACCGCACUAUCAAGUGGUUCAACCGUUGUUUGAAGAUGGGUUCAAUCUCAUGCAUCCUGAGGUCUUAUGUCACAUACAACUCAGUUGUUCACUCGAGAGUCAAGUCAUUGAAGGACAGAAAACAGACAAGGGUAUUUUCCACAUCAAGGAGAAGAUCAAAGAUGACCCAAAGACUCAAUUUUGAGUUGAUGAGAAAGGGGUACUGUGGUUUCAACAUCGGUUAGUAGUCCCGAAGGAUCGGGAAUUGAAGAAUCGCAUCAUGGAUGAAGCCCAUCUCUCUAAGCUUUCUAUUCAUCCUGGCAGUAGCAAAAUGUAUCAAGAUCUAAGACCCCACUUUUGGUGGACCAAGAUGAAGAAAGAGAUAGCUGCGUAUGUAGCCCAUUGUGACACGUGUUGCAGAGUUAAGGCCAUCCAUAUGAAACCUGCAGGUCUGUUGCAACCGUUAUCAGUUCCAGAAUGGAAAUGGGAAGAGGUCAGUAUGGACUUUAUCACAGGAUUACUGACCACGAGGAAGGGGAAUGACUCGAUUUGGGUGAUCAUAGAUCGAUUAACCAAGUCGGCUCAUUUCAUUCCAGUCAAGAACACAUACAGACCUCCCGAGUAUGCCGAUAUAUAUGGCUGAGAUUGUUAAGUUGCAUGGUAUUCCCAAGACCAUCAUAUCAGAUAGAGGACCACAGUUCACCGCUCACUUUUGGGAGCGAAUGCAUAAGAAUUUGGGAACCAGUCUGAUAAGAAGCACGGCGUACCAUCCCCAGACUUCAGGUCAAACGGAGAGGCUAAACCAAGUAUUGGAAGAUAUGCUGAGGGCCUGUGUGCUAUCGUCCAAGGGAUCAUCGGAGUCAUGGUUACCUCUGGCUGAAUUCUCCUACAAUAACAGUUAUCAAGAGAGCAUCAAGAUGGCCCCGUUCGAAGCUUUGUAUGGUCGGAGAUGUAGAACUCCGUUGAACUGGGUUGAACCUGGUGAGAGAAGAUACUAUGGUAUCGACUUCGUGAAUGAGGCAGAGAAGAAGGUACAAAUCAUACAGCAGCAUAUGCGCGCAGCGCAAUCUCGACAAAAGAGUUAUGCUGAUAAGAGAAGAAGGCCACUUGAAUUCAAAGUAGGUGACUAUGUGUACCUCAAGGUUACGCCAAUGAAGAAGGUUCAGCGUUUCCGAGUUCGAAGCAAGCUUGCACCCAGAUAUGUGGGACCGUAUCAAGUACUGGAGAGGAAAGGCCCAGUGGCCUACAAGAUUCAGUUACCUGAAGAGUUGAGCUUGAUCUUAACGGUCUUCCAUGUGUCGCAACUGCGGAAAUGUUUGAAGGUACCUGAGCAAAGAAUUGAACCUCGAGGGAUCAAAAUAAAAGCAGAUUUAGAAUAUAAGGAGCAACCAGUGGGAAUUGUGGAUACCAAAGAACGGGUAACCCGAAACAGAGUUGUUCGAACAUACAAGGUGGUGUGGAGUCAUCAUGAAGAUAGGGAUGCCACCUGGGAAGCAGAGGAUUACUUGAAAACAGUUUAUCCAAAAUUUCAUAAGAAAUGGUUAGUAACCCAAAAUCUCGGGACGAGAUUUCCCUAAGGGGGAAGGGCUGUAACACCCUAUGUGUUAAGCAUGCAUUUAGCCCUAUCACAACAUGCAUAAGCAUUCUCAUCAAGCAUAGCAUCAUGGGCAUGUCAUUCAUCCCAAAACUUGAUUUUAUGUGCUUUAUUUCAUGUGUUUUAAUUAUGCUAAAAAUAUGAUGCUUGCUUCUAAAAAUGUGAAAUAUUCAAACUAGGUUGAUUUAUGUGUAGGAAGAAUUUAGAGUAUUUUUUGUGUAAAUUUUGGAGCUAUGGAAUUUGAGAAAUGGAAUUUAUACAAGAUUUCCAAAUUGAAUUUAUUUAAAAACCUAGAACUAAGUUUUAAUUUGUGAUUCAAAUUCUAUUUGGAAUUUGGUCUUGCUUAUUAAAGCAAAGUUGUAGAGUUUUUGUUUUGGACCAACUUUGUUUUUGGGAGCAAGAGGUGAAAAUGAUUUUAAAUUGGUCCAAAUGAAUUUAGAAAGAAUUUGGAGAAAAGAAAUUCAAAAAAAAAGAAAAGGGGCAGGCGCUGCUGGGCCAACCCCGCUUCCCUUUCGGCCCAGCGAGCGGCCCGGCCUGCUCCCCCUCUUCCCCUCUCUCCCGCGCGCGGCCGCGCCUCGCUCCACCCGGCGCCGGCCACGUGGCGGCCAUACGCCGGCAUUGGACGCGCCGCGGCCGGCCUCCAACCCCCCUGGUCGGGACGCCGGAUCGGGCUCCCAGGGCAUUUCCUCCGUUCUGUCCGCCGCGCCCUCCUUCUCCUUCCUCCCUCCGCUCACACCGUGCAGCAGCAGCAGUUCCUCCGCGCGCCAUUGCCGGAGAAAGCCCCGCCGCUCGCCGCCGACCACACCAGAGCCUCAAGCUCACCGUCGAGAGCACCAGCGCCUUCGUCAUCGUUAGGGUAAGCUUGUGCGCGCGUUCUACCGAGGUGAGAGUCCGUCGAGCGCCGUGAAUAGCUCGCCGGAGUUACCCCGAGCUUGCCAGAGUACUCCGCCACGACGGAUCUUGUGUUUCUCUGCCUCUUUUCGCUGGUUCUUGGGUGCGCUAGGUCGGUAGGGUGGUGAGGAAGCUUGGAGAGGCGUUUGCGCACGCUCUACCGCGCCGGAGCGGCCUGGCCACGGCGAGCAGCGCCGCCGUGCCGCCAUGCAUGCUCGUCGGAGGUGUUCCGGUCAUCCUCCGGCCAAUCCAAGGGUACCGUUGGGUGCGCCUCGCUGCGGGGAGCACGUUGGUGCUUACCCCGUGGCCGGAGACCUCACCGCCGGCGACAUCUGCUCGUCGGAGGUGAGCUCCCUCUCGGUCUCGCUGACCGGUGGGGUCGGGGACCCACUAUCGGUCGCAGGGGGACCCCGGUGGGUGUAGAUCUGGGUGCGCGUAGCCUUUUUCAUCGGUUUUCUUGAAUAAAUGAUUUCCAGAAAUUGAUUCAAAACAUGUAAAAUUCAUAUCUUGAGUUCUACAGCUCCAAAUUGGACGAAAUAAAUUUUGGUGUGCUCUAUAUUUCCAGAUCUACAGUUUGAUGUAAUUGCAUGUCAUGUUUGAGUAACUUUUCUGAAUGAAUAUAUUUAAUCUAUGUUUUUGCUAUACUUGGAAAAUGCAUAGUAAAUAAAGUAUGGUUCAGAAAAAUGUGAAUCUUGAUUUGUUGGCUCUGCAUGUAUGUUUACUCACUGGGAAAAUAUUGCUACAUAUUAUUUGUUGUAUAAAUGAAUUUAUGGUAAUUUAAAUGCUUGCAUGGCAGUGAUUUAUGAUUUUUAAUAAUUAAUUGGAUCAUGCAAUAAAUCUGGAAAAUUUUGUGGGUGUUUCUUAUGAUAUUAGACAAAUUGUAAAAAUAUGAAAUCUCUUGUUUGACACUUAUAUCACAGUAGAGUGAUUAUACUUUCCCUAUGAAUUAAUCUUGUGAUUUUUGUGGCUCAAAAUAAGUAUCCAAAAAUUAUGAAAAAUUUACAGUAGACUUUAUGCUUAGCUGGUAGUCUCCUAUAAUUUUUGUGGAAUUUAUUGAUGAACAGAAUUGCAUGUGAUUUUUAAUGGGCCUAGAAAUGAAUAAAGAAAAUUAUGAAUUGUUGUGUAUAUAGGUUGAAUAGAAUAAGUUGGGUUUGGUGUAUCUUUGAAGCAUCAUGUGGGUUGCUGGUUGCAUUUGAAAAAUAAAUUGUAGAAGAAAAUGCAAUAGAUGUUUGAUUCAAUUGUUGUUCUUGGAUGAUGUUGACUACCUUGUAAUGAGCAUGACCGAGUACAUUACAUAUGCAUCAUGUCAUGACUCCUUUGGUACUUUCUCAUACAAGCAUCCACUCGGGCAUCUCGCACUCCACUCAUAAGCACACAUGCAUCAUACAGGCUCGCAGGAGAACGAAGUGGGACCCGAGGAACCCGAGGAGAUUCAGGAGCAGGAACCUCCGGAAGCACCGGAACCCGGAGAAGAGCUACAGGAGUGUCCGGAUCACCGACCCAGCACGUUUGAGAAAGGCAAGCCCCGGAGCAUUCUAAGUCUCUCUAUUCUCGCUAACUUAUAUGAUGCGCUAUAAUUGUUCUACUAUAUUGCAUCUAAGUGAUAGGAUUUGAUUGAUACCGUUGAUGCAUAUGUACUCCUUGUUAUCCCUACUCGUUCACCUACCUUGUCCUAUGUAGAUAGGCACGGAGUCUAUGCUUAGCUUGCUUAGUCCGGUAGAAGUCGGGUGAUUUCCUGUCACCUGCGAGAAAUAGGUGGAUACCUGCUUGAUUAAGCAUUGGUUGCUUGGGGAAAAGAAUAACCGAGUGUGGAAUGUAACUGGAGACCGGGCAGGGUCUUAUGGUGGGUUGACCAUAGUGCCCCUGCCUGCGUCGAUUAAGGACCGAUCGUUGACGGCCCUCUUGUCAUGUUGAACGCAUGCCCCACACUUAGCUGGAAGGAUAAGUCGUUCCGACCGCGAAGCCUGAACACUAUCCGGGCCGGGAAUCGAGCCGCCAUGCGCUGUAUUGGUGAUGGUUGAGGAGAACGACGAGGGCGCGGCGCGCAACCUUGGUAUACCUUGGAUACCUCGGUCGCCGGAACGGUCCUCGGGUACUGGCGGUGCCUGCCGAACCCGCGAAUUGGUCCUGGAUAGUGUAAUACGGUGAUCUAUAGCUCACUUGAUCAGUGAGUGUGGUUUGUGUGGGGAAUACCUCGCCAGCUGGUUAGAAAUCGAUUCGAAUCGCCAUCGCUCCUGGAUAGUGAGCACUUGACAUGAGCUUCGUCCUUGUAUUAAGGACUAUGGAACACUUGGGUUAUGUUGAUGAAUGGUUUUAAGAAAUGCUAUGAUAAGGUACUAUCAUAUCCUUAUACUUGCUUGUAAUAGUGCAGGUGCAAACCUAGAUGAUAGGUAAUGAUACUUUCAACUUGAGCAAAUUAAAAGAAGAAAGACUUAUGUAGGUUAUGAUAGUAAAAUCCUACGGUUUUGCAAAAUGGUUGUCAGCUACCCCACUAUAUAGCCUUCAUGAUCCUUGAUGAGUCUUUAUUUUAAGUUUAUGACGGGUAAGUCUAGCUGAGUACCUUCUCGUACUCAGGGUUCUACUCCCAUGUUGUUUUGCAGAUGGUCAAAUGUACUAUGGUUAUUGCAUCCUCUGUCUGUACCCAGCCAUGGGUGAUGACUAGACCAAGGGCAAUGGUCACUCCGUCUUCUCUGUUGCUUUUGUGGGAUUGACCGAACUAUGGCACUGUAUCAGACUAAAUGUGUGUGUUGUAUUUUCGAAUUAUGAAGCUUCCGCUACUUGAAGAACUUGGUUUGUAAUAAUUUUAAGAACUCCGAUGUAUUUUAUGAAUGUUGUACUCUGAAUGUAUUUGUGAAUGGUGACCGCUAAACUUAUUACGAUCUUGGCUGUUGUGCGAUAUGUGGUUUGAAAUCCUUCGAGAUUUCACGGACUACCGGGAUUAUAUGGGCUUAAGCGUGAUGGUUUGACUAUGCAAAUGGUCACUGUUAGGCCUAAUCUCUUAUAAUUUGGUCGGUUCUAUUACAAUACCCCUCCAGCUGGAUAGGAAUCGAUUCGAAUCGCCGUCUCUCCCGGAUAGUGAGAACUUGACUCGGGCAGUGGCAACGUAGACCUCACUAAAUAAACUUAAUGGUUAUGAUGAGAAUGUGGAUAGCUAAGUGAUAAUCCGGAUAUGGUUAUUAUUUUGAUGCUUAAAUACUCAAGUGUAUGCUUAGAACAGGUGCUAAUCUAGUGGAUAGUUGUUAUAGUAAUGAACCUGCUGCUGAGAUGUUAUAAAUGGACUACUUACAACUAAAGCUUUUCAUGCAAAAGGUAAGUCAAACCAGUCCACAAAGAUAAGCCUUGCAUACUCCUUGGUGUCACUUUAUUUUGGUUUAUGACGGGUAAGUCUAGCUGAGUACAUUCUCGUACUCAGGGUUUUAUUUACCCUUGUUGCAGAUGAUGUCGUUUAUCACGGCUACUGUGCUAACUGUCAUCAUCCGGCUGUGGACGAUGAAUAGAUCUUGGGCAUGAUCAACUCCUUUAUCUUCAGUUAUGCUUUUGUUGGAAUGACUAUGGAAUUGGCAUGUAAUUAAACUGGGUGUGUGAUGUUUCAAAACUACUUUGCUUCCGCUACUAAACUGGUUUGUAAUAACUUUGUUCCAACUCCGAUGUGUUGUAAAACUAUGUUCUAUGAUGAAUGUAUGUAAUCUGUGAUGGCGAUGCUUGAUCAUGUACGAUCUUGGUUGUAUGUUGGUUCAAUCGAGGUCUUUUGAGAUUUCGUCGGACUACCGGGUUUAUAUGGGUUCGAGUCCAUUGGCUUGACUACUUUGUGGUCGCUAAUUCACUUGAAUUCUUAUAAAUUGGACGGUUCUGUUACAGUGAAUCGCCCAAAACCGCUCACAAGCUUGACACGAGCCACCCACAAGAACUCCGGGCGGUCUUCGUGCCUCCAAUCACCACCGAACCGUCUAGGUGAUGGCGAUCACCAAGAGUAACAAGCAAAGAACUCUCACUUGACCCAAACAAGUCACUAAAGAGUGGUGGAUACACACUUGACUCUUGGAAUUCAACUAGAGAAGGAUUCUCACAAGAAAUCACUCAAAUCUCAAUCCUUUUUAGGCUCUUGCUACUCUCUUGCUCCACAACAAGUUUCUCAAAUGUUCAAAUGGGCAAGAGACCUCUCAUGGAUGAGGUGGAGGAGUAUAAAUACACCCCACAAAAUCCAAAGGUCAGCCAACCGUUUUCCACUGAAAACGGGGUCAUCAGACGCUGUUGAUGUUGCACCGGACACUCUGCACCGAGCGUCCGGUGACACCCAAUGGCUAACUGUACCUGCGUCUGACAGGUCACUAGACGCUACUUCCCAGCGUCCGGUGGCACCGCCCGGUGCUCCGGGGAGUUUUACAAACUCCCUGAGUUUAAGACCGGACGCUACCCGGUGCGUUCGGUGCUAGCGUCCGGUGCUCGGGGCAGGUUUACAACCUCCCUGGGUAUCGGACCGGACGCUGCCCGGUGAGUCCAGUGCCAGCGUCCGGUGCCUAACCCUAAGCACCAAAGCUCUCCAACGGCUAAGGACCUCACCGGACGCACUCACAGAGCGUCCGGUGCAUCGUCCGAUGCCUACUUAAGCACCCUAACUUCGUCGAAACGCGAUCGUUCCAAAACGAAGUUGGUUCCUCUCGAUCUAAGGACUAUCUCUGAGCUGCCUAGUGCUAGGUUUACCAAGUGUGCACCACACCUAAACCUAAAGCCUUGCCUAAGUCAAGCUACUAGAUCAAAGCCCCUCUUAAUAGUACGGUCAAAGGAAAACAAAGUCCUAAACUACUCUAAGUGCCCUUUGUUGGGUAUUCUUAACAUCAUUACUAAAAGUAGACUAAGUUCUAAAUCUAGCAACGGUGCCAAAAAUGCCAAACCUAUCCCUCACACCACUUAAGCCAAGUUGUCAUCCCCAGCAUGAUAUAAGAGACGCGGUAUUGAAAUAUGCAAUUGCUCUUCUAAAUAAAUAAUGAAUGGGAUCUGCAAGCGCACAGAUUAAUAUCGAUGCAGCAUUUGAACCGGGAAGUAUUCCAGGUAUCGUUAUUUAUAUUUUUACCACUAGGAAGGGAUUAGUCAAUCAUCACUAUUGAUUACAGAAUAGAAUAUGAGAUUGAGCAUCUAUCAUUGCAUGUAUAAUUGAGAACAUUAUAUCUAACUCAUCAUACAGGGAUAAGUGUCACAUAAAAGAUAUAUGAAAUAAUAAUAGUGACAAGGAUAACUAAUCUGAUCUAGCCACAUAAUAAAUAUGAUAAGCACCUCAAUUAGAUACUCUAGAAAGUCAUUAGCAUGGUAUUAGAACGAACUACAAGAAUAUUCCCUAAGUUAUUCUCAACUAUAUAGUCUAGCAUAUCAUAGUUAGUGCAAGCAUACUUAGCAAUCAUUGCGAGACAAGACUACGCCCAUGCAUAGUGAUAUUAGCAAGGAAUAUGAGAAACAUAGCAAUCACUCCCCUGUAAUAAUGUUGCUCUGCCAGCCCAAUACACGAGAGGGGGACUAUAUAAGAAUCAAUGAAGCUGUCACUAUCACGAACUACCCCACGAUCUGACAUAUUGGGUACAAUCGCAGAUAAAUACGGUAUAAGCACCACGCCUACACAAUAUCUAUCAUUUACCCAUGGAUCCGAUGGAUAAACGCUAUACGAUCCUAAGCAUGUAUAUAGAUCGUAUCUAACUAAGCCAAGUACAUAACUAUGAUAAACUAAGAACAAUAUAAUCUUGAAUAUAAGCAAGUAGAGCAAAGUCAUAAGCAAUAUAUUGAAGUAGAACAAAGUCAUAUUCAUAAUAUUGAAGAACAAAGAUAAUUAGAAAGCAAUUAGAAGCACAAUUAGAAGAUUACCAAGAAUCCUCCUGACAGAUCCGGAAACCAAUCGAAGAUUGACUCCUUCUAGUUCUAAUCCUAUGUAGCUAUGCUAAUCUAGAUAUCUAAUUGAUGUGGUGGCUCUAAUCUUGAUCAGAGGCUUCUUCUCCCUUGAUGGAACAAUGAAUUAGGGUUGAGAGGCUCUCUCCUCCAGGGUCAGUAAAGUAACGGCGUACCUUCUUUGAGGGGAAGUGCAUAUGGACUUCUCCGGUUCCAAUAUUGUGGGGGGAUAGACCCCUAUACCCUUACGGCUAGACUUGGGCCAGGAGGCUUGGCCCAUUACGAGACGAGUUCAAGGCUUGAUCCGACAGCCUGGAGUUUCGCGUAAGGAAGCAAGAUGUGGAGAUCAAGCAGGAUUCUAGUCGGUUAGAACAGGAAUUGAUAUCGAACUAUCUAUGACAAUUGUAACCGACUAGGAUUAGUUUCCAGAUCUGUAACCCUGCCCUUCAGACUAUAUAAGGAGAGGCAAGGGACCCCCCUAGGACAUACGAUUCUCUCAACACAAAUCAAUACAACCAGACGCAGGACGUAGGUAUUACGCCAACUCGGCGGCCGAACCUGGAUAAAAAGCUUGUCCGUGUCUUGCGUCACCAUCGAGUUCGUAGUUUGCGCACCGUCUACCGAUAAACUACUACCGUGGGUAUACCCCAAGGUAGACUGCCGACCAGCUUUCGUCGACAGUGGCGCGCCAGGUAGGGGGUGUGCGUGCAACUUUUCCGGCGAACAAGAUGGUCACGAUCCCAGCUUCCGCGACCGUGCCUGAAGGCCUCACGUUCACCGUUGGCCAGAUCACGUGGACGACGUGCAGCGGCGGCCUCACAACCACGGUUUCGAAAGAGACCCGGAUCCAAUCUGAGAUCACGCCGUCUCCGACCACACACGUGGCGGCACCGAGCGCCCGACCACCGUUCCCGCUCUACAAGGGAAAGAAGAUCGACAACUCGGACCUUCUCCAAGCGCUUGAUCGCGCUGACUCCAAGCUACUCGAAGUUUCCCCACUAGUAGACGGAGUUCUGCGUCGGCCCGACCAAGCUGCUCCAGCGGAUUUUUUCAAACCCCGCUGGCCAACUCGUGUCGCCACACACGAACGGUUGGGAACGUCUCUGACGAUAACCUCAACACCCUUAGGACGAUCCGUCGAGCUCAAGAAGGAAGAUUAUCCUUACGGCCUGAACAACUCGGCCUCUGUUUACUCACAGCACACCCAAUCCGUUUUCAGCAAGGCGGUUUGGUCGCCGACAAGGAACGAUCGUCACUACGUCAACAUGGUGACGAUCCGAGAACUACGGGACGGCCAGGUUUCCAGCACCAACUCGAGCACCGGUUCCGUCCUCACCGAGGUUAUAAACACCGAAGACGAGGACUACGACCUGGAUUUUCCUUCACACCCUCCGGGUUUCCCCCGAUUCCCGAUAUUUCCCCCCCGGCGAGGAGAUAUUGUGUUCAAUGUCAGCGCCGACGAACCGGUCGUUGAUGGAGAAACAGAUGACCAGAGGCAACUCCGCGAACAGCGCAACGCCGAUCGCGCCCGACGACGCGCAGACGAGCAACAACAAAUGCUACCAAAUAAUCUCAACGAUGCCUUUGACAUGGUCGGGGACCAGCCAAUCUACAAAACGCCAAGGGCCAACGUGGUUGUCGCCAUGGCUAACCUAGAUCGGCUUCCUGAUACCCCCGAGUGCCAGGGAGUCCGGACCAGCAUCCGAGCACACCUGAUCGCUGCAAUGGGACAGACAGCCACUCUGCUCAAGAGAGUCCAGGACGUCUCUUAUACGGAAGCCGCCUCCGACCAGACUAAUCGUAGCCGGGCCUCACCGUCUCCCAGCAGGCGUCACCGCAGCCGCUCUCCCGACAACCGUCGAAAGGACUCACGGCGCGACGAUGGUGGUCGGGACGCCGACGGUCGCCGCAAGCAGAACCGCGUACGCGGCCAAGAAGUAAACCAGCACAGGGAUCUCCGCCACAACAUCCCUCCCAAAGAUGCCCGGGACCGCAUCAACAGGCGCGCCACAGAGAGAGCAGUCCACGAAAACCUGCGCUGCAUCGAGCAGUCCACACCAGUACGUCAGCCCCACCGACGUGGUCCACUCCAUUUUCGGGGGCAAGGUCUCCAUUGAAUCCAAGCGAGAAAGAAAGCUGUUAAAGAGAGCCUGCCUCAACAUAGACAGCACGGACGGGCUGAUCGCAGACCCAAAAUUCCCCCCGUGGUCCCACAGGGAGAUCUCGUUCAGCAGGAAGGACCAGUGGGCCGCUAUCCCAGAGCCGGGUCGUUUCCCCCUGAUUCUGGACCCUUGCAUCAACAGCAUCAGAUUCGAGCGCGUGCUCGUGGACGGGGGAAGCCCCAUUGACAUCCUCUUUCGCAACAGCCUGCCCGCCCUCAAGAUAUCUCCUGCACAACUAAAACCUUACGACGCCCAAUACUGGGGGGUUUUGCCGGGUCAAAGAUCAGUGCCUCUCGGACAGAUAACAUUGCCUGUCCAAUUCGGCACACCCGACCACUUCCGGACGGAGUUCAUCAACUUCGUGGUCGCCGAUUUCGACGGGACCUAUCACGCUAUACUGGGCCGACCAUCGCUGACAAAGUUCAUGGCAGUCCCGCACUACUCAUACCUGGUCCUUAAGAUACCUACGGAGAAGGGUGUCCUAACCAUCAGAGGCAAUGUUUACACUGCGUAUACCUGCGAAGAGGAGAGCUUCAAGAUCACGGAAGCAAUCGACCUCUCAAUCCGCAUGGCAGAAACAGCAACUCAAGCCGCGCAACUGCUUCCCGACCAGCUCCGAUUACCUGAGCAGGAGACAGCCAGAAAGAACUCAAAAUCCAAGGAGCACAAAGAAGUACAACUGGUCGACGGCAGCCCCGAGAAGACGGCCCUCAUCGGGGCCAACCUAGAUCCAAAAUAGGAAGACGCGCUCGUCAGGUUUCUAAGGGACAACGUAAGCGUUUUCGCAUGGAAACCCGCAGACAUGCCCGGCGUCCCACGAAACCUGAUCGAGCACUCCUUAAAUGUCUCGAAGACCGCAAGACCAAUCAAGCAAAAGCUGCGACGGUUCGCUCGUGACAAAAAGGAGGCUAUUAGGACAGAAAUCACACGGCUUCUAGCAGCCGGAUUCAUAAAAGAAGUGUAUCACCCCGAUUGGCUCGCCAAUCCGGUUCUUGUACGCAAAAAGAAUAAUGAAUGGAGAAUGUGCGUUGAUUACACUGAUCUCAAUAAACACUGUCCUAAAGAUCCUUUUGGUCUCCCUCGCAUCGACGAGGUGGUCGACUCAACGGCCGGAUGCGAACUCCUCUCCUUUCUAGACUGCUACUCUGGUUAUCACCAGAUUUCGCUAGAAGAAGAAGAUCAGAUCAAUACAUCUUUUAUUACACCUUUCGGCGCAUACUGCUACACGACCAUGUCUUUCGGACUCAAAAACGCCGGAGCCACUUAUCAAAGGGCCAUCCAGCAAUGCCUCCACGACGAGAUUCGUGAUGACCUCGUCGAGGCCUAUGUGGACGACGUGGUCGUAAAAACAAGGGACGCGAGCACCCUAAUCGACAACUUAGACCGAACUUUCAAGGCACUCAAUAGGUACAAGUGGAAGCUCAACCCCAAGAAAUGCAUUUUCGGCGUUCCUUCCGGUCUACUGCUCGGCAACGUUGUCAGUUGCGACGGCAUACGACCAAACCCUUCAAAAGUAAAGGCGGUACUCGACAUGCGACCACCGAAGAACGUAAAGGAUAUCCAAAAGCUAACCGGAUGUAUGGCCGCCCUCAGUCGCUUCAUCUCAAGGCUAGGAGAAAAAGGCCUCCUUUUCUUCAAACUAUUAAAAGCGUCGAAAAAAUUUUCUUGGACAGAAGAAGCCGACACCGCAUUCAACCAGCUUAAGACCUUCCUCACUUCACCACCUGUCCUUACAGCGCCUCAGCCCAAUGAAGACCUACUCCUUUACAUUGCUGCAACCGACAGGGUUGUUUCCACGGCAAUAGUGGUCGAGCGAGGUGAACCAGGUCACGCCUACAAGGUCCAGAGACCAGUUUAUUUCAUAAGUGAAGUCUUAAACGUGUCCAAGGCCAGGUAUCCACAAAUACAGAAGCUCAUAUACGCCAUUCUAAUAACGUCAAGAAAGCUGAAGCACUACUUCGACGGCCAUCGAGUCCUGGUGACAACCAGUUUCCCUCUCGGGGACAUCCUGCGCAAUAAAGACGCCAAUGGCAGAAUCGUGAAAUGGGCAAUGGAAUUAUGUCCAUUUUCCCUGGAGUUCCAGAGUCGCACCACUGUCAAGUCUCAGGCCCUGGUCGAUUUCAUUGCUGAAUGGACGGAUCUCAACGAGCCUUCCGUUCCUGAUGUCUCAGACCACUGGUCAAUGUUCUUUGACGGGUCCUUGAACAUCAACGGUGCCAGCGCUGGGAUACUGUUCGUAUCACCCAACAAGGACAAACUGCGCUACGUCCUUCGGAUCCUUUUUCCGGCGUCAAACAACGUCGCCGAAUACGAAGCAUGCUUGCAUGGCAUAAGACUAGCCGUUGAGCUGGGAGUCAAGCGCCUCUAUGUUUAUGGCGACUCCGCUUUGGUCAUCAACCAGCUCAACAAGGAGUGGGACGCAACCCACGAGAAGAUGGAUCUCUACUGCAAAGAAAUUCGCAAAUGGGAAACCAACUUCUACGGCAUAGAGUACAUCCACGUGGUCCGGGAUAAGAACCAAGCAGUAGAUGCGUUGUCGAAGUUAGGCUCAUCUCGGGCCCAGAUCCUGCGGGGUAUUUUCGUCCAGGACAUCCACGAGCCGAGCGUAGGCUCCUCCCUGGUCGACAAGCAACCCACCGAGGCAAUGCUCAUAGACGACGCCACUCCGACAACCGGUGGGCGUGACUGGCGUACCCCGUUCAUCAAAUACAUAUCGGACGGGACAGGCCUUCAGGACAAAACAGAGAACGAGCGCCUCAUUCGACGAUCAAAGAACUACAUCCUGGUCGACGACAAACUCAUGCUGAAAAACGCAAGCUCCGAAGUACUGCUCAAGUGAAUACCCCAAGAUGAUGGUAUCAAGCUCUUAGAAGACAUACAUGCUGGAUCCUGCGGCAAUCACGUCGCAUCCAGAACGCUGGUCGGAAAGGCUUUCCGAGCAGGUUUUUAUUGGCCAACCGCGGUCGGCGACGCAGAAAAACUGGUUCGACAUUGCGAAGGAUGUCAGUUUUUCGCUAAGAGGACCCACGUACCUGCCCACGAAAUUCAAACCAUCCCGUCGUCUUGGCCCUUUGCUUGCUGGGGGCUUGACAUGAUCGGGCCAUUUAAACCAGCCCCGGGCAAUUUCAAGUUUGUUUUCGUGUUAAUCGACAAGUUCUCCAAGUGGAUUGAAUACAUGCCUCUGGUCAAGGCAACCUCCGAGAAGGCUGUGGAGUUCCUCAAUCAAAUCAUACACAGAUUCGGCAUCCCGAACAGCAUAAUCACCGACCUGGGCACUCAGUUUACUGGCACCACUUUUUGGGACUUCUGCGAUGACAGAGGCAUAGUCAUAAAAUACGUGUCAGUGGCACAUCCACGUGCCAACGGUCAAGUUGAACGUGCUAACGGAAUGAUCGUUGACGCCCUAAAGAAAAGGUUGUACAUCGAAAACGACAGAGCACCCGGUCGAUGGAUGAAUGAAUAGCCGGCAGUGGUCUGGGGCCUCCGAACUCAGACCAGUCGAAACACACGGGUGUCUCCCUACUUCAUGGUGUACGGUUCAGAGGCGGUCCUGCCGUCUGACAUACACUUCGGAUCUCCUAGAAUCGAACACUUCGACCAGGCGACCGCCGACAACGCCAGAGAACUCGAAAUCAAUUGCAUGGAGGAAAAGCGUUUAGAUUCUUGUCUCCGAACAGCAAAAUAUCUCGCGGCAGUCAGGCGAUACUACAACAGGAACGUCAAGGACCGUUCCUUCGUGGUCGGCGAUCUGGUACUUCGAUGGAAAACAAGCUAGGAGGGAAUGCACAGGCUAUCCACUCCCUGGGAAGGACCCUUCGUGGUGACCGAGGUCACACGGCCUACGUCCUACAGAUUGGCAUACCCAGACGGAACACGAGUGCCUAACUCUUGGCACAUAGACAAACUGCGACGUUUCUAUCCAUAAAGUUUUAAUAACUUUCCUUUGUAAGUAUCUUAUAAUUGUUAAUAAUGAAAUUCUCUAUUUUUUUUUUCCUAUACCUUGUCGCACACAGCACUUGGCAAAACUUCUGCAAUGGAUGCUCUUAACGACUACCAAGACGAAUACGGUGACACGUCACUCAGAUAAUCUUACAGCGCUCAAAACAACAGUCAUGACAAAAAGCAAACUUUAUUACAAACUUUACAUACAAAGUUUACAAUAAAUACCCUAACGGGCAGACACUAGUCUAUUCCUACAGACUACUCUAUUGGCCUAGCUGCUCGGGCUGAUCACCCGCCUGGCCCUGCUGCCCGGACGAAGGGGUCGGGGCCACCGGCGCCUGGCUGGUCGAGACCGCAGGCGUCGACCGCCCAUCUCCCGCAACGGACGCGCCCGACAACUCCCUGGCCGACCUAUCUGAACUCGGCUGGUCUGGGGGAGUGGCCGUUCCGCACAGAUUGAUGUCGCCGAUCACUGUCGACGACAAGUCCAGCAGACUACCCCGAAGCUCGUCCGCUUCCUGUGGGCCGACCUCCUUCGGGUACCCCUUCUCCAGCCUGCUCAAGUCGACCAGGGGGUAGUGGGCGCGCACCAUGCUGAGGACGUGCGCGCCGGCAAACUCCCCGGCGUCCUUCACGAACUGCUGGAGCCAGUCCCACGCCCGUUGCGCCUUCUCGACCGGGGUCAACUGUGGCGCGCGGGGCUGGCUCUUCGGGAGCUCGGGACUGAUCAGGUCUAGGACCGGGGACACUCCUUUCCAGAUCCUGCAACAGUUGACCCUCCAGGAGUCCCGGUCCUUGACCAGAUCAUCCAGGUGCUUCUUGGCGUUCACCUUGAGCACUGCAAACGAAACAAAGCGUUAUUUUCGGCAUACCAAACAAACAAAGGGGCGACAAGCAGCAGCUAACAAGGCGGCACCCAUUACCAGAUAAUUCCCGGUCCUUUCGACCCAAUUCCUCUCCUGCUCGCCGCCCGGACUCCAGCGCACCGGUGAGCUGUUGGCUGAGCUGCUCCUUCUCUUGUCGGAGGCGCGCCACCUCCUCCUCCAAGUCUGCGUGAAUCAUAAACUGGUCAGUAAAGCAAACUACACAAGUACGCAAAGCUGCUCGGAGCGUGUGACUAACCUUCUUGCUGCCGGUAUUGGUCGGCCAAGCGACGAGUGAGGUCUAGACGAUGCUCCUCUUCGGCGCUCAUCUCGGCCACCUUCUCCCCGACUUCCGACCGCAGUCGGUCUACCUCCGCGGCCAGGGCCUUGUUCUCGGCCACGACGCCUUCUAUCUGGUCAAAGCACCGUUUCCGGUACUUUGCCGUUUUCAUUGUGCCCUACAAAGCGAACAUAUAACGACCAUGCAAGACAAGGCAUAGAAUGUAUAGCAGUACAAAAAGUCGCUUACCUUGACUUCGUCGACGAGGCGCUUGGCCGCGCGCUCCACCCUGGCGGCCUCCUCGGUCUCGGCGAGCUCUUCAUGCCCGAUAAAGUGAUCCCCGCGUUGGCGCCACACAUACACGUGUUGGCGGCCAUCACGGGGACGAC